This 66153-nucleotide long non-coding RNA is filed under the name Vigna radiata. Its description in RNAcentral is "long non-coding RNA (VRAD_LNC001444)". The stretch from base 63508 to 63811 matches the Rfam family "Plant signal recognition particle RNA". The record is from RNAcentral. Lineage: Eukaryota; Viridiplantae; Streptophyta; Magnoliopsida; Fabales; Fabaceae.
GAGAGAGUAAGAAUUAGAAGUAGGUAAAUAUUAUUUUAAUAUAUAUAAAAGAAGGGUGAGAAAUACAGAGUAAUGGCCCAUGCCCCAUACUCGAAAGGACCCAUUCUGAGAACCAGCACCUAACAAUUUCACCCCUUUUAUGAUACACAUUCAUUAUUCCUUAUCACCAUAUUGCAGAUGAUUGAUUACAAUUUCUGAACAGACUCGAAUAAGAAAUCAUGAAAUUUUUUGCUGUUUUUGUUUUCUUAUCUCAGUACUGCAAUAUAUCUGCAGAAGCCAUGAUAGGGUGGUUCAGAUACCCCAUGUUCAUGGGGUUGAAGAAGGUGGUGUUAUUGGUGGUUGGUUCAACGAAGGUGGUGCUGCCAAAACCCGCAUUUAGGACUUCGAUGAUCUCGUUCAGAGACUCUAACCUGUGGCUCAGCUCACCCACCUGAGCCCUGAGCACCGAGUUCUCAGCCUCAACGCUCAAGAACUGCUGCGUGGUGAUGUUGACGGUGGUCAGUAUCUGCUGAUUCUCCUUUCUCAGCUGAGCCACUUGGGUAACCAGAUCGUCCAAGUGCUUCUGCUUCCUCAUGCGAGAUCGCCGUGCAGAUUCGCGAUUCGAUAUCAUUCUCUUCCUCUUUCUCUGAUCCAUUACCGCUUGCAAGUCCUCCUCAGAGCCCGAGUUCUGAAGCAGAGAGGAUGAACCCGAACAUGUUCCACUUGAGGAAGCCAUGGUAUGAGACACAGGACAACACAACACAACACAAUACAAUACAAUACAACACAACCCUUCUCAGUUAACACAGUUCGCAGGACCCAGACACUAGACACGAACAAACUCUGAAAAUUAUUACUUUAUGACGACGACGAAGACGAUAAUGAUAAUGAAAAUAGAAAUAUAGCAGUAGAUAUUAUAGAUUUAUAUGAUAUAUAGUAAGUGAUAUAGUGAGGAAGAGUUAGAAAUCAUGAAACGUAGUACAACCAAUAGAGGAAGGCAACUGAGAAGGAUUGAACUAAAUGGGUCCUGCGCCUAACAGUGGAAUUGAUCAUACACCCGGAAAAGAAGAGCUCACUGAGAAUCGAAUACAUGAAUCUCAAACAUCAACAACAAGAUGUUGGACAUUUAAUUUGCGCUUCUAAUAUCUACUUCCUGGAGAGGAGAAGGAAAAAAUUGAGUCAAAAUUCUCCAACCCAAUUUCGUAAAGUUUCAAACUUUGGUGCUGAAAAAUGGAAAGGGGUGAGAUUUGUUAUGUGGGGUUUGGGAUGAUGAACAUGGUGAGGUUGAAGAGAAGGUGUUUGAUAGAAAGUCAGUGUGAGAUGUGGAAGAAAGAGAAAUAUCUAUAUAUGUGUGUCUGGGUAGCGAUAUGUGUAGAGUGUGAUGGGAAAGAGGGAGAGAGAGGAAGAGGAGUGUAUGUGAAUGAAGGGAGGAAUUUAUAGAAGGGAAAAAGGCAUCAAGUUGGUGAAAAUAAUUAUUAAUUAUGAAAUCCUAGAGAAGGAAGAAAGAAAGAAGCAAAGUAGGGUGUAAUUUACUUUGGGAUCACUUCAUGAGAAAACAAGUUGAAAAGCUUGAAUUUAUUAGAAAAAAGUGUGAGAGUGAUGAUUUUAAUGGUUGAUUAAAGAGAUUGGUGGAAGGUGAGAAGUAAAAUUGUAACAGUGUAGGAGAGAAGAAGAAGAAGACGCCACAAGUGUCCAGAGAUACUACAGCUGGGAACCAACAAUCACAGAAAAUGAUGAUCACAGUUUGAGAUACAUCCAAAACUGGCAUCACACUCUCACUCCAACACAUUACUGUUUCAGGAACUUCUCUAUGUCUACGUAUCCAUUACUACUACCAUCAAACCUCUAUCUUUUACUUCAAAUACAAUCACAUAAUGUAAUUAAGAUGUAAAACUAAUCAUAUUCUUUUCUUAUAUAAUAUAUAAAAUGAUAGUCAGACAACAAUUUUUUAUAUUAUUUUAAUAUUAUUUAUAUCUUAUUUAUUAUUAAUUUAUAAUGAUAUUCAUAAUUAUUAUUAUUGAUUAUAAAAUAAUUUUGAAUAUAUAUAUAAUUUGUUAAUACUUAUAUAAAUUAUACAAUAUUAUCGUCUUUCAAUAAUCAAACGGUCAAUACAUCUUGAUUUAAUGUGAAACAUAUAAUUUAUUAAACAUUCAAACCAUAGAUAAAAUUAGUAAUAAAAAUAAUUAUGAUAAUUUUAAUUUUAAUCAUUAUAAAAUUAAACGAUAUUCAAAUUAAUACUAAUAUGAAGUCCAUUAAAAAAUUCACAAUAUAUAAUUGAUUGCUUUUAUUAGUCGUGUAUUACAAAAAUAUUUAAACAAAUACUAAUUUUCAUCAAAAUGUUUUCUACAUAUAAAUUUUGACAUUAUUUAUUUAAAAAUAAUCUCAUAAACCGAAACAUAAAUAUUUACAAUAUACAUAAAAAAAAAUAUUACUUUUGUAAUUUUGUAUAAUUCUUUUAAAUUUGAUUAAAGAAAAACAAAAUCCGUUUCUGAUAUAUACACCACUGAUAGAGUAUAAAAUCAAUUAUAUAAUUUUUUAUACCAUUUAACUAUUAUGUAUGUCAUCACAUUAGUUAAUACGGUUAUCUGUAUUCUUAGUUUUACCGAGAACUACGAAAAAGGAGAGAGUGUAAUCUACUCGCUUAAAGAAUAGUACAAAAGAAAUUAUGAAGUAUGUUACACUUAUCAUCGUUUAGUUAAUUAUCACCUUCUUAUUAAUCAAAUAUAACUAAUUACACCAUUUAUAAAUCUAACUAAUAUUGUCAUUUUAUGUAUUUUAUUUUAUUAUUUAUAUAGAUCCGAAAAAGAAUUAUAAUUUUUAAAACUUAUUUUAAACCACAAAGAGAUAUUGUUCUAGAGAAGCAUAUAUUUACUUGAAUGAUAUUCUUUAGGACGAAAUAAUGUGCUAAGGAAUAAAUUUUCUUUCUCUAAUUUAAGCAUUUUUUUUUAAUUUCAAAUAAAGUAAAAUGAUUAAUCACAACAAAGUUUCCCUUUUUUUAAUUUAGUAAAAUGAAAAAUAUUUAAAUUUUAAAAUAAUAUUAUCAAAAAAAGUUAUAUAAGCUGUUGAAACGAGAGGAAAUUAAUCGAUAUAUAAAAUUAAGUCAAAUAAAUGAUUUUCAACAUUAUAUAUUAAAUUCUUUAUUUUAAAAGUCCAAAUUUAAAGAAAAAUGGUUUCAAAUGGAAAAUAUAAUAUUUAAAAUACGAAAAGAGAUAAUUUAUUUUGAGAAAGAAUAAUUGCAAGGGCAUUAUUUCUAAUAAUAAAUAUUUAUCAUGUAAAAUGGAAAUGUCUUAUAUUUUACAUAAAAUAUACUUGUUUUAUUUGUUUGCAUGACUAAUUCAAUUUGGUGAAGAUAACAUUGAUGUAACGACAUGUGAUUAUGUGCAACAUAAAUUAUUUUAGUUGACAUUGCUUGAACAAAGUAACUUAUUUUAUAUUUUUGAGUGAAUUUGUGGUCCCUCAUAGAGUGAAAACCUCUUUCACAACAUAAUCAUAUGUCUGACCAAUUAAAUGAUCCUCCACUUUUUCUAGUGCUCGUGAGUCCUACGGAAAAACAUUUCAAAAAUGGUAUGUUUAACUUUAAUAAAUAAUAUAUAUAUAUAUAUAUAUAUAUAUAUAUAUAUAUAUAUAUAAUAUUUAUUAGUAAUUUGAGAUUACUUAAAAAAAAAUAAUUUUGAUUUAAACUUUUGAUUAUUUGAAAAUUGAUUUUUUCAUAAAUACUUUAAUUGUUUAAAAAAUAUUAUAUGAAGUUUUCUUAUAAAGUAUAUUUAUGUAAUAGGUGUUGAAAAUGUUUAAUUUUUAUUCAAAUUCUAACUGAUUUGUUUCUUUUUCAUCAUUUCAAAAGAUCUCUUAUUAAUAGAAUUGAUGAGUAUGUAAAUUUAUGUCUAUUAUUAUUUUAUUUAAUGUGAAAUUUUGUUUAUAUUCAACCAUAGAUAAUUAGAUUUAGAGCUGUCAAAACGAGUAAUCCGACCCGACCUACCACGAGUUGGUCACUUAGUGAAUCAACCCAACCCGACUCAUUUAUUAGCGAGCAAGAAAUAUCUGAACCUAACUCAACCCACCACGGGUUGGUGGGUAAACGGGUUGGCUCACUAGCCCAUUUAAUUAGUUUUUUUAAAAUAAAAUAAAAAAUUACAAAUUUUUUAUAUUCAAAUUUAAACAAAUUUCACUCCCAAAAAUGAUAUUAAAGUGAAGACAAUUCAAAAUAAUAAUAAAAAGUAAAUAUUAUUCAAAUGUCACAAAAAAACAUACACAAAAAAAACUGCUCCUUGUAAAAUUUUAGUGAAAGUCACAACACCGUAAAUGAGAGCAAGUUUCGUGAGAGUGAUAUGUGAGAGCAAAUGUUACGUUUUUGGUAUACACAGUGAGUGAGUGAAGAGAGUACUUUACUUUUUAGGGUUUCAUAAAUAAAAUAAUAAAUUAAAAAAAUAAAAUUAGAUAGGUGGGUUGGCGGGUCAACCCGGCCCACCACGGGUUUAACCCGCACGAACCAAGUUUAAAUGAGUCGGGUUGAAAUAAAAUAAAUUCAAUUUUUUCAAACCCAACCCGAUCCAAACCCGUUAUAAACCGGAUUGACUUGUAGAUUGUGACAUGUUUUGACGGCUCUAAUUAGAUUCAAGUAAAAGAUGGCUAAAAACAAUGAAAUGGAAAGUAAUUUGUGUGGUAGAAUAAAAGAGAAAGAAAGUUAAUAAAAAAACAUACAAAAGAUUAUCUUUCAUUGAUUUUGUAUAAUGGUAACAAAAUGUCGAAUCUAUUGUAUCUUAAAUUUAUCGAAUAAAAUCGUUAAGAAAAUUUCUAUAAAUAUUAUUCAUUUUAAAAAUAAAAAUAAAAAAUAAAUUCCUACUUAAAUAAUUAAGUACUGAAAAAAAAAAUAACUUUUUCCCCCUUUACUUUUGUAUUUUUCCUAAAUCAAAUAUUACGUGAGUGUAAGAAUCUAUCCAAAUCAUAUUAGACAAUUGCCACUACCAUCAGUUUUGGAAUGUACAACUAUACAAUAAUAGUACGAAAAUUGGUGACAUUAUGUACCACAAAUCUCACCAAAUAGUUGAACGAACAGUUCAAUUUAAAAACAAAUCAACAUCGCAUUACAAAAUAUCACUCAGUAAGUAUGCUUCAACUUCAAAGCAGACAUUUUUAUGUUGUGAAUUCUACGUCUACGUAUUCCCAUAUACAGUACUAGGAAUAUAAUUUAAUAUUUAAAGUAUUAUUAAAAAAAAUUAAAAUGAUAUUUUCGUUAUCAUUUUAUUUCGGAAAAUUACACAAGCCGGGGCUGCUCUUUUUGUUAAUAAAAUAUUUUAAUCAUUAUUCCUUUAAAAUUUUAUAUUAAUUAAAACAAUACCGAUUACAAUAUAUAACACGAGAAAUGCUGAAUUUAUCGCAUUUAAUAUUUGAUAAAAUAUUCUUAAUUUUCACAUUUAAUCUCAUUAAUCUAAAAUACUGAAGUUCAAUUAGACUUAAUUUCAUUACUUUAAGAACGUACCAGUGGUCCAAAUUUGAAUCUCUCAACAAAAUUUCAACAUUAUAUUUUCUCAAACUAUUUAUGUCAAGAUUGUUUUAAAAAAAGUGUGAUUAAUUUUCAUUUUUAAUCAUAUUAUAAAAAUACUGGCCAGAAUCGGUUAACUAUUAAUAAAAAGGAUUAAAUAUGUUUUUAAUCUGGGACGAUUUUGGUUUUAAUUUCUUUUUUAAACUAAGGUAUAAUUUAGUCCUUCAACUUUAUAAAAUUCUGGUUUUAGUCUUUUUUAUCAAUUUUUGUUAAUUUUAUUUGUUAUUUCAAGCACGUUUCAUUAUAGCAUUUGGAUUAUUUACACUUUUGACACAUUUUUGUUUCAAUGUUAAUUGAGAAACACAUUUAAAAUAGCAAAUAAAGUUAAAAAAAUUUCAUAAGAAAAACUAAAAACAGUUUUCUAAAAUUGAAAGACUAUUUUAGUUUCAAAGAAGGAUUAAAACCAAAAUAUCCAGAACUAAAAACAUUAUAGUGUACCGAUUAAAGUGGCAUACACGCGAGUGCAGAACUGUUGAUGGUGCGCGUGACACUUGCUUCCAUAUUCUUGUCUGGUGGGCACGAAAUGUCGUUGUCGCCCACACGCAAGAGGGGGCGCUUGCACAACACAGACGGUAGGAGUGUGGCGAGUGGCGAAAACGUGCCACUAAGUAGAGUGUAGAAUCUAGACUAGGUAAUGUUCUGACACGAGUCACUUUUUCAAUUCAGAAAAUUAUUAAUAAUUAAUUAAAAUAUAAAAUACUACAACCGAGAUGGGAUGUGGCCUUGGUUGGUGUGCCCUACCAAUUCAAUCUCGCUUUUCAGAUCUGGGCCCCACCACCCUCUCAUCAAUCUGUUUUUCCAAUGUUACCCUUUUACCUUAUAAUUGUUUUUGCCAGCAUUAAAUAUGUUUUUACUUCUUAUAUUUUAAGACGAUUUUGGUUGUAGUUUCUCUUUCAAACUAAGGUACAAUUUAGUUCUUUAAUUUUAGAAAAUUUUAGUUUUAAUUAUUUUUACCAAAUUUUUUUAACUUUAUUUGCUUUUUCAAAAUCGCUCCAAAAUAUAUGGACUAAAAACAUAUUUAAUCUCAAUUUAUUUUAAUCUAAAAUAUAAUUAUCAUUAAUUAAAUAAAUGGUGAAACAUGUCUUUUUUUUUUAAAUUAAAAUGAAUAUUAGACAUUAUAUAUAUAUAUAUAUGAUUUUAAUAUAAUUAAGUCUCAAAAUUUUAAAAAAUGUAUAUAAUGUUUUUAAUUCAACUUAGUUAAAUUUUUUAGAUGUGUUAAAUGAUAUUUGAACUUUUUACUGUAUUCAGUACCGUGUGUUCGACAUUUUUUUUUUUAAAUAGUUAAAUUAAAAUGGCUACAUUUGUUAUGUUUUAAAUUUAAAAAUUAAAAUAUACUAAAAUUUAAAAAAGAAACAUAACUUGAAUUUACAUUCAAAUUUAAAAAUUAAAAACAUAUUUAAUUUUUUAUUAAAAUUAAACAAAUUCUUAUUUAAUUUCAAACACGUUAUAAGAUUUCUGUCACUACAAUAAAAGCUUUAUUCCGAAAAAUAAAUUAGGUAGAGGCCGUUUGAGUAAACAUUUUGUUAAAAUAUAUUAUUUAAGAAAAUAAAACAUCCAAAUGAUGCAUGCCAUUUUCAGUUUACAAUAUGUUUUCUAAAUUAGAUAUACAUGUACUUAAUAAUGUUGGAGACACACCUGAAUAUAUACUAAAUUAUUAUGAACAUGUCGACCGCAUGUAAUUCUUAUCUUUCUAUUUUACUUUGUAAGAAAAAUUCAAUAAUCAUAUUCUAUACUUUGAAGUAAAGGAAAAACAACAUUUGACUUCAAAUAAAUAACAAUCUAAUUGUCACAAGCCUUAUACAAAACAUGUAGUAGUAUAUAAAUAAACUCUUACAUUGAUAAAACAAUAAAUAUAUAUAAAAUUAUGUAUAUAAGACAGUUUUAUUAAUAACAGAUCUUUUUUAAAUACUACUAAAAAUAAAUUCAAAUUUGUGAGAAUUUAAUUUAAAACGAACAAUAUUUUAUUAAUAGGAAAAAUCUAUACAUUUUAUUGUCAAAAUUGAUCACCUGACUCGAUUCGGUUUAGUUCAUCAUUGGUUGAUUACUUAGUGAAUCAACAUAAUUCGGUUCAUUUAUUAGUGAGUCAGAAAAAUUUGAAUUCGGUUCAGUCUAUCACGAGUUUGUGGGUUAAACAAGUUAGUUUACUGAUUAUUUAAUUACAAUCUUUUUAAAUAAAAAAUAACAAAUUUUUCUAAAUUUUCAUAAGAUAAGAAAUUAAUAAAAUAAAAUUAGGUGAAUUGAUCAGCCAAUUCGACUCACACUAAAUUCAAUCCUGAAAAAUUGAAUUUAAAUAAACUAAAUUAAAAAUUAAACCACAUAAAAAAAAUAUUUUUUCAAAUCUAACUUAAACCGAACUUGUGUAAAUCAAAGAACUUCGUAGAUGAAAUUGAUUUACAGGUCGUAAUCUAUUUUCACAGCUAUAAUAUAUUGUAAACCUCGUUGUAUUUGAUGGAGAUAGGUUUUUCCCUACAAGAAGAUUAUGAAAUUGAACUCUGUUGAUGUCUUUCCAUAAUUUUCUUCCAUGGGUUGUUCCUGUUGUUUCUUUUUAUUUCCACCACUGAGAUCUUGGGUCUCUUGUACACGUCAAUAUUAAUUCUUCGUGUGAUUUCAACUUUCUAGAACAUCAAUGAUGUAAUAACAGUUGCAAUGAUAUUUGUAUGGUGACCAUGAAAAAUUUCCUUUUUAAUUAUUAUUAAUGGAUGGUCAAACAGCACAGUGCAUAGAUUUUAAUCUGCUAAGAGCCAUAUGAAUAUAGGAUGUUAAGGACCAUGGCUUUGGUAAUUGAAAAGGUAAAAAGGUAGAAAGUGGACAAAGACACAGAAGAAAGAAAGAGAAAAUCUUGGCUUUCAGUGUCUGACGAAUUGCAAUUGCAACCACCCAUAUGUGUGUAUGUUUAUGCAUGCUUUUCUUAUCAGUGAAGGCAAUGUUAAAAAUAUCAUUGCAUUUAAUGUACUGCACCAACCAAAAAAUAAAUGUUCAGGACAAUUUCUCUAGAAAACGACAAUUCUAUGUUGUCGACAACGAUGUUAUGGUUAUGGUCACUCUCUACGAUGCUUUCUAUCAAUUAUGCACAAUUUUCGCUCUUUCAAUUUCAAUAACGUAUUGCCAAAUCCUAGUCCCUUUCUCAUUCUGUGGACUUUUUCCCUCAAUAGUUUAUACAUUAAACAAUUAUUAUGAUAAAUAUUUAUGGUAACAAAUCAAUUUUAGGGUUAAAUAUCGUUUCAAUCCUUAUACUUUGAUGUAAUUUUGGUUUUAGUCUCUCUUUCAAACUAAAUUACAAUUUAGUCCUUCAACUUUAGAAAACUCUGGUUUUAGUCAUUUUUAUCAAUUUUUUUUAACUUUAUUUGUUCUUUCAAGCAUCUUUUAUUAUAGCAUUUGGAUUGUUUACACUAUUUGACACAUUUUUGCUUCAAUAUUAACUGAGAAACGUGUUUGAAACAACAAAUAAAGUUAAAAAAAUUUGGUAAAAAGGACUAAAACCAGAGUUUUUUAAAGUUGAAAGAUUAAAUUGUACCUUAGUUUUCAAGAGGGACUAAAACCAAAAUCGUCCCAAAAUAUAGGGACUAAAAACAUAUUUAACCCUAAAUUUUAUAUUUAACUUUACAAAAUUUUAUAAUUUCAAAAAUUUGAAAUCACUCUCUAUCCAUAUCUUUAAACAAUAAAUUAAUUAUUCUUUUAUCUAUAUAUAAUAUUUUACCUUUUAUUUUUAUCCAACACGAGACUUCACUUUAAUUUCUAACAAUUUCGUGUACGAGACUGUAAAUAAAUGAAAGGUCUAAUAGUGACCUAAUGGUAAAUAGAAUAACAUAUUUAAUAAAUACAAAAUUUACUAUAAUAAAAUACAUGAAAAAUUGAAUUUUAAACUUAAUCUAACUUUACAAAAUCAAUUUAUAAAUAGUAAAAUAUCUUAUUUUUAAUCAAUGAAAAUUCUAACCAUUUAUAUAAAUAAUAUGAUUUUCUUUAACUUAUAAUUUUAUUUUCGACAAAUCUUAUUCUAAAUUAGGAUAGAAAAGAAAUGGGCUGAAAAAUAGCUUUAUUUUUUUUAAUUAUUAAAAAAAAGGAAGAAGAAAAUUUUGAAAAGAACAUUGUAAAAAGUAAACGUUCAGAAUUUGAUUGUCUAAGUAUUGAAUUCUGACCUUAAAAAAUACAUACUAUCUAUAAAAAUAGUAUUUGGGUGAAGAAAAUUAUAUAUUUCUUCCUGGUACAUUAUAACACAAAAAAGGUAGUUCCUUCGUGCACUUCUAUGUAUUUCUUCCUGCACCUGCAUAAUUUAUUUAUUUUUUCAUUUCAUUGUACAAUUUCGAGGUAAUUUUUUGACUUUUGAUGGUGUAAUUCGGAAGUAAAAAAAAAAAAAUCCGCAUCAUAAUAUCUGAAAUUUAUUUUAAAUAGUUUUCAUAUUUGAAAGAUAACAAUGACUUCCAAAAUGUAUAAUUUGAAAGUUUUUUUUUUUUUUUGAGAAAAAUAACUGUCUAAUUUACAUUAUCCAGAAGUCAUUUGGUUUAUGGAUUACACAAUAUUGUGAAAUUCAAACUGUUAUGUAAAAUCGAAUUGCAAUUACCCAUUUUGAAGUAAUGUUAAAGAUAUAUAGUUAAUAAUUAUAAAUUAUAUGAUUUUUUACAUCACUAUUACGAAAAAUAUUGAAUUUUUAUCAUAUAUGAUAUUUUACAGUGGAUAGAAGUUUUACGAUGUAUUUUCAUAACUUGUUUUUAAUCAACCUUUACGUGACAUCGUUAAAGUAUUUGAGUUAAAAAUAAUAAUAGAUUUUAAUUAUAUGUCAUGCAAGAGAGAUAAACUUAAAUUACACAGUCCACCUUCUUCAAAUAAUUUUCCUAACAAGCUUUUUCUUAUAUUAUAUAUUUAAAAUAUCUGUGGAAAAUAUUUAUUAAGAGAUAAAAUUAGGAUUUAAAAGUAAUUUAAUAAUAUAAAAACUGUUAUUAAAUUAAGAUUUUUCAAUGUUAUAAAUAAGUUUACUGAGAUAUCCGAAGGUGUGCUAAUGGAAGGGACCUCCCAUGAUAGUAGAUUGCCCAAAAUUAAUAUUUAAUUUUGAGGCCCAAUUAGGAACCCAUUGGGCUAUCUGGUUGGAUAUCGCAGUUACAAUAAAUUUAGGGGAGUUACACCCUGUACCUCCCCGGUUGCAACCCCCACCCCCCCAAUUUUUUUGAACUUUUUUUUAAAUACAAAAUUAACCUUUAUGUUUUUUUUUUUACCCAUUUACCCCUAUUUAACCUACCUACAGUAACCCUCCUCUUUUACCCCUCUUUUACAGUAUGAGAGAUUCUCUUCGUAUUCCCCACCCCCACCCCACCAUUUUGAAACCUCCCUCUUCCAAACUCUGCAACUCUCCCAUUCUCUCACUCUGCCACUUCGUAUUCUCACUUUCCCACUCCUCUCUGUUUGUGCGGCUGUUGUGCGGUGGGGUUGUGGUUGCUGCUCUGGUGCGGCGGCGCAGAGGGUGUUGUGCGGCGGUGUUGCGGCGGUGCAAGGCGUCGACAGGUUAGUUUCUUAUAAUUUUUUUUUUUUUAAACGUAUGCAAUGUGUAGUGUAGGAUUGGGUAUGGUUGGUGUUUCUGUUUGUUCUGUCAUCUCUGUUUGUGUGCAUUUGGUUGGUGUUUUUGUUUCAGUUUUUUCAUCUCUGUGUGUGCAUUGAGGAAGAAGACAGGCACGAAACGAAUGUUGUUAUCCGUCCACGGAUGUCGACAUCCGUUACAUAUUUUUAUUUUUUAAUUUAUUUUAUAAAUAAUUAUAUUUUAAUUAUUUUAACUUUUUGGAGCAUUUGGUAUAUAUAUACCUGAAGCUGAGACUCAAGGAAAUGAAUAAUGGUGGCAGGGAUGAUGCCCCUGAUGCCACCACCAUCGAUGCUAAGAAUGGUGACUAAGUUUCCAUAAGUUGGAGGCUGAAUUUGUUCAACGGAUGACUCUGAUCUCUCCAUCUCUCUGAAUAAAGANACGCUNANAUCGAAGGNUGUAGUUUCCUUACGAACAGAAAGAAUUGUGAAAGAAGGAGCAAAGGGUAACUAAGAGAGAUUGAGGCUUGUGUGGUUUUUUGGUAGGCAUUGUUGUAGUAUUUAUAGUGGUAGGUGGACCCAUUAAAUAUUGAUAUUAGUUGAGAGUUUAUUUAAUUGAAUUCAAAAGAGUAGAAAAGUAUUUAAUAUGGAAUAGGAAGACACAAUCAAAACUGAGAUGUUAGGCCUAAUAGGACACAUUCCUCUGUUGUUUUAAAUGGCUAUUAUCCAAACGACAUAACUUUCCUAAACAUGCAGUAUAACCCGAUGGCGAUGGCUAUAAGUAUAUGAUAUAGUAUAAUAAUAUUUAUGUUUAUGUUUAAAAAAUAUAUAUAUAUAUAAGGGCAAUGUAUUUAAUUGGAUAAAUAAAAAUAAAUAGGUUAUGUGGGGGUGGGAGAAUAAAAUUAUAAAAUUGUAUUUUUAAAUAUAAAUUUUUGAUAAAGGAUAAAAUUGGAAUAGAAAAAAUAGAGAAAAGGGUAAAAAUGGAAUGGGGGGGUGGGGGUUAGAAUUGGGGAGGUGCAGGGAGUAACCCCCUAAAUUUAGACCGUUUCCUGCAUCUCCAAAAAUUUCUUCUUGCACCCUUAUAAAUUUUUAUAUUAUAGUUCACCCAUUCUUUCUGUAUUUUCCAUGUACAAAUAAAAAGUAGCAACACUGUUAAAUUGAAUAUAUAUAUAUAUGAGGUUUGUUAACACGCGUACGCCUGUUUUUCAGUUGAUACGUUUUAACCAUGUGUAUUGGAUUAUAGUAGACAAAAAUAUCCUCAUUUAUCAUGGACUCUAAGUUUUAAGGUCAAGGAUAUUUAAAUAAUUUUCAUUUUCAAAACUAAAAAAAAAAAAAAAAACUUACUCACCUCCCUCAUUCCUCUUAACCCUUUCUUUUUCAUCUCUCUCACUCCAACAUUUUCUCUGUUAUCCUUACUGUUCCCCCAAUUGAAAAAAAAAAAUCAGAAACCCUUGCCUAACCCUAAUCUACCUUCCUCACUUAUCCAAUUUAUUUCUCUCUCGUCUCCAUACUCUCCCUCGGCCACACACAACAACUCGUGACAUCGUAAUUUGUUGCUCUUGCUCUGUUCGUUCAUUUGGAGGAUGUGUUAUAUAUUUUCCCUUCUUAUUAUUAUUAAAUUUCAAUUUUAAAUUAAAUCAUUUAAAUAAAACCUUCAUAAAUCAAUUAAUUUUUCAUACAUUAUUUACACAUCUACACCACAUUUCAUUAUAUUUUUAAAGAACAAGAUAUUUCCCUCUAUUGUCCUUUUCCCUUUACACAAAGUGUUUCUUUUUACUUUCUCUAUUGGUAUGAGAUACAUGAUGUAAGAUUACAACCUAGAAUUGAAAGAAUUGUACUCGUAGGGAGUUCUUCUAUACCUAUUUCUUUAAUUUCCUUAUGUCUCUUUUUUAUCACUGAAUCAACUCCUAUAGGCGACAGUAAAAUCAUUUUUUACUUUUGAAAUUUUGAAAAGUGAUAUAAAGUGACAAAUUUUAUAUUCAUUUUACACAUUAAUAAAUAUAAAAUGAUUACAAGAGAGUAAACUUUUUCGAUUUUUAAAAAAUAUCUCCGAUUCAAAUUACCACCACCAUAUCUUCAAUUGGGUUGAGAUGAGAGAAAAAGUGCUGGAGUGAUGACAGAAAAAAUGUUGAGAUGAGAGAGAAAAUAUCUCUUAUGACAAAGGGUUUCUAGUUUAAUUUUUUUUUUUCAAUUGGGACAAUAGUAGGGAUGACAGAGAAAAUGUUGGAGUAAGAGAGAUGAAAGAGAAAGGGUUGAGAGGAAUGAGGGAGGUGGGUAAGGGUUUGGGCUUUUUUUUUUUUUUUUUAGUUUUGAGAAUGAAAAUUAUUUAAAUAUCCUUAACCUUAAAACUUAGAAUCCAUGAUGAAUGAGAGUAUUUUUGUCUAUUUCCGAUACAGAUUGUUAAAACGUACCAACUAAAAAACAGGCCUACGCGUGUUAACAAACCCAUAUAUAUAUAUAUAUAUAUAUAUAUAUAUAUAUAUAAUAUUUAUUAUGACUUAAUUGUUAAGUCAUUCAAUUUAGUAUUAAAUUACAAUAUUUUAAAUUAUAAAAACUAUUUAAUAGGUUCAAUAUGAGGUCCAAAUAAAACACUCUUAAGAAAUUAUUGAUGAUUUGAAUGAACUGAAUCUGAUCCACCAGUGAAACAUGCAAAUUAAGAUAUCAAUCAUUUUCAUUGUCUUCUUAUAAAAAAUAUAUAUAUAAUACUUUAUAUGAAUAUUAAUAUACAAUGUAAUUGAAAUUGUUUUAAGAAAUAUUUAUCAUAGAAAAUUAUUGUAUUAUUUACAGAAAAAUAUUAUUAAAAGUUAAAUAAGAAAAUGAUAUAUUAUCUAGAGACGGACUCUGUCUCAUGGGAGAAAAAUGUACUUUAAAAGUUAGAGUGCAGUGAGCAUGGUAAAUUUAAAAGAAGUAGUUUGUCUAUUUCUUAUUUAAAUAUAUCUUUUUUUGUUUUAUAAAUGACUAAUAGAGCUAUUCUUUAAAAUGUUACUUAUAAGCAUUCUUUUUAACAAGUUAACCCUGGAUUUAUUGAUGAAAAUGCUUAUUUGCGUAUAAAAAACAAAUAUAAAUAUAUAUAAAAAAAUAGUGAGAAAUUGUGAAGAAAUUAUUAACAAAGUAUAAAAGAAAAAGACAAUAAUAUAUUAAUCCAGAUUAUUUUAUAAUAUUUUCAUUCAACUGCUCAUUAAAUUUCAAAUAUGUCAGUAUAAAAUAAAUAAAUAAUAAAUUGAUAAAAAAUAAUAUAUAUGUUAUAUAAAAAUCUAUAUCUAAUUAUUUUUUAUGAGAAAAAAUAAUGGUAGAAGAAGGCGUUUGAAUGGUAGAGGAAGUGUUGAAGUGUUAUGUCGAUUGUGACAGAACAUAUAUGUUGGAAUGUAGCAUAGUGUUAGAAAUCAGAGAAGUUGAUAUGAAGUUGUGAUGGGUAAAUCAUGGACAUCUUCAAAAACCCUUCGACCCAAUCCCAAGUUUCGUUGGUUGCCAAAAACAUGAAAUGUUGUUUUCUGCCAUUUCUCAGACAUUUUCAGUUUCUGACUACGUUUGACCUCUUUGCAAUUAAUUCUACUUACACCUGCUUUCAUACUUUUAUUAUCACGGGUCUGCACUCAUUUCUUUGUGGACUUUAAUAUUCUUAAUAAAAAUUCUUUUAACAACUAUUUUUUCUAAUAUAUAAGAUUGAAAUUAAGAAUAAGAUUAAAUAUAUUUUUAGUUCCUAUAUUUUAAGUCGAUUAUAGUUUUAGUCUCUCUUUCAAAAUAAAGUAUAAUUUAGUUCUUCAACUCUAAGAAAUUCUGGUUUUAAUUUUUUUUACCAAAUUUUUUAAANUUUAUUUGCUGUUUCAAGCACGCUUCAUUAUAGCAUUUGAAUUGUUUAUACUGUUUGACACAUUUUUGCUUCAAUAUUAACUGAAAAACACGAUUGAAACAACAAAUAAAGUAAAAAAUUUGGUAAAAAUGACUAAAACUAGAGUUUUCUAAUGUUGAAGGACUAAAUUGUACUUUAAUUUAAAAGGGUGACUAUAACCAAAAUCGUCCCAAAAUAUAAGGACUAAAAACAUAUUUAACUCUUAAGAAUAUAACCUGAUCACACAAAAGUAGUCCAUAACACGUAUGUGUAAUAUAAAAAAAAUCAUAAUAAAAUGUUUACUAUUUCUUUUCGAAAUUAUUUCUGGUGGUUUUUUUUGUUUUUCAUGUAAAAAUGUAUUUUUCAAUUUUUUUAAGAAAAAUGUUUUAUGAUUUUUCUAUAGAACAUGUUUAGUAAUUUUAUAAUUACAAAAAUAACAAAAAUCGAUCAGACGUCAAAAUAUUGAUUUCCUUCCAUUCACAUUUUAUCUUAAAUUUAAACCACACACAACAAGAACAAAGAAAUCCAUAAAACUGUUUAUCAUAAGAUUUAAUCUCAUUUUCAUUCUCAUAGGUCUAUUUCUAUUUUUAAGAAAAAAAAAACUAUAUUAAUUCUCUUAACAUGAAUUCCUAUGUAUUUAAGGAAAACAUUUAUAAAUUUUAAAAUGUUAAUCUAAUUGAAAUGCCAUAAUAUACGCAUCUUAUUUUAAGAAAGUCAAAUUUAAAAAUUAAAUACAUAACUGUUGAUGUAGACAGGGGAAUAUAUGAUAACAAAGAGGAAUCUAAACAAAAAAUACCUAGUUAUACAAAAUUAUAUUUUAGAAAAAAGAUAAUUACUCAAAUAAAACAUACAGUCAACUCACACGUUUAAAACUCAGUUUUGAAUAAAGAACAAAAUAGAAAUAUUAUUAAAAUAUUUUAUAGGAUUAGAAAAAUAAAAUAUUUUAAAAAUAGAGACAACUUUUUCUUUUUCUUUUACACAAAAACCUUUAUUAAUUUUAAAUAAUAAAAUAUUUAUCCUUUAUUCAACUCACUCUUGUGUCAUGUAUACUCAUAAAACAAAUUGCUGAUUUAGAAGUUAUAAUUAAAAUAGAAAUAUUUUAAUGCAACAAUUUCAAACAAAAGCCACACCGUCCAAAUAUUUUAUGUCCAAUUAAAUUUAUAUUUCGUUGGAUACUUUUUUUUUAUAUUUGUUUAUUGAACUAUUAGUAAACCUAAUUGAUUAUCAAAUAAACUACUUUUUUUUUAAUUGGAUCGAGUACAUUAAUUUUAAUGAUAAUCAAUUUAGGAGUAAAGUAUAUUUUUUCACAAUUUUGUAUUAAUUAAGUUACAUUCAUCUUGAAAUUUAUAAAUAAAGAUUUGAGAUAAGAAUGUAAAUUAAAUUAUUUUACUCAUAGAUUAAUUACUAAUUAAAAAAUGUUAAGCUAAUUUUGACAUUAAAGUACAAAUAUCCUUUGAACAAUUUAAAUAAAUGAAAAAUUCCUUUCUUAAUAACUUUUAAACUUCAGAAUGACAACAUUAUGAGACUAUAAAUAUCCAAAACAAGUAUAAUUUGAUAAUUUGCUCAAAAUAAUUAUAUUAAAAUACAUACUUGAAAAAUCACUCAAUAAUUCAUCCCAUUAUACUAUUAUAGCAUAUAUUUUUCAUAAAAAGAAGAUAAAAUAUGUCAAAUCCUCACGAAUUUGAAGUUUGUGGUUUAAUUAUAAAUAUGAAUCCACCAAACACGCUUCACAAACUCAGGGAUUUUUUUUUUUUCUCGAAACACAUGUUCUUAAUAAAGACAACAACCACUGUGAAAACAUCGUAUGUGAGACAAAAUAACAUUAUAAUAAUAAUUCUGUCUCUUACGUGUUUGUGUAAAAAACCAUAUCACAAAAAAUCGUCAAAAUUUUUUAAAUAUGGAAUCGAAUUUUCCUUUACAUGGUUUUUGCGUAAUAUACUCUUAAAGUGUAGACAACCUAGUAAUAAUUAAGAAUGCAACAAUUAGUGGACAUGCAUGAAUAUGAUCUCACGCGGGAAUACCAUUGAUUGCCUCUCUUUGAAGCAUUUAUCAUGAAAAAGAGGUUACUCAAAUCAAAAGAACUAAUAAAAAACUUGCAACUUGUUUAGAAGUUAGCAUAAAGUAAAAAGCAUUAUUUUGUUACAAGGAAGAGAUUUUCCUUUUUUAUCAUUGAAGAAUGUGAAAGGAAAUCAGGUUAAGAUAAAAAAUUAGAUAUGCAAAAAAUUAGACAGAUAAUUACAAAACCCAUAUGACUUUUUAUUUUUUAUAAACUGAUUUAAUAUAAUGCAAAACAAAAGAAAAACUAAAUUAAAAAUUAAACAAACUAAAACCACAAAUUUACAUAAAUAAAAAUUACACUAGGUGUUUUCUUUUACGACUUUGUCCUCAAAAUGCAUUUAUUAAGAAAGGCAUGUAGUCACGUAAUAAGAUACUAAUGUAAACUCUUUGUUAUAUUUUUCUUAAGAUAUUUACAUUGUUUUAAACAUCUAAAUGUAAAGGAUAAUGAUAUUUAGACAACAUUUUUUUGACAACACUUGAACAUUGAUUACGUGUCAAUAUGUGAUUGGUCAAAAAUUACUCCACAAUCAAUAAUAAUAAUCAUAAACAUUAUUGUAGAGUAAUUUUUGACCAAUCACAUAUUGACACGUAAUCAAUGUUCAAAUGUUGUCUAAAUAUCAUUAUCUAAAUGUAAAAUAUAGAAAAUACUACCAUUCAUGUGUUAUUUGCUUUUCAUGUAAAGACUAUACAGAGGAAGAAAAAAAAACUCAUUUUUAUUUCCUGAAAAACUAGAUUCUUAAAAUAAUAUUAGUGUUAUUAUAGUUUUGGAGAAUAAUAUUUUUAACAAUAUUUUUUAUAACAUUUUAACAUUAUCUACGUAUUUAAAAUUACUUCACAAUCAAUAAUAAUAAUCAUAAACACCAAUAUAAACCAAUCAACGAAUAACAUCAUAUUAAAAUAUUGUCAAAAUAUAAUUAUAGUAUAUUAUCCUAUAAUUUUAAUCAUACUCUUUUUUUCUAUCUACUAUUUAAACGAUCCAUACAAUUACAUAAAUAAGAAAAAUUUCAUGAAGGGGUCCCGAAAAGAUGGUCAACAUCAUCUCCACAACUGUUAAUGCAACAACGACAAAGAAAUUUCAUGGAGGGUCCCGUUACGGACGUUUCAUACGGAUUUUGCCCUACAACCCUUCUUUUCGGCGAUAAUUCAGCUUUAUAUUUUAAUUUAUUUUAUAACAAGAUCCUGAUCUGACCUUUCUUAAUUAUUUAUCAAUUUAUUAAGACGUCCCAUUUUCUUCACAUGGAAAUUCUUCUACCCAAAAUCAUAUAACCUAUUUAUUUAUCUUUCGGCAAUGGGUUGUUAUAGUUGAUUAAAGUAAAUGAUAUAAUGUCACUUUCAUUUUUAAAUUAGUAAACGUGUUAUUGACCCUCUAUGAUUUUAGCGUAUCUUAAUUUAAUCUAUAUUUAGAUAUGAAACUUACAUUACAAAUAUUAUAAUAAUUAAAAAUAUUAUAAUAAUUGAAUGAAAGCUUCGUCCUAGAUUUUCGUGUGUGGUUGAAAAAAAAAAGUUUAAUUAGAUGAUUGGUAAUAAAUAAGAAAGAGAAGAAUUUUGUUAAUUUUUGGUGAGUGGUCAAGAGCAAUAGGGUAGGCAGUAGCCACCAGUGAUUAGGCCUGCUUGCUCACCAAAUCACUCGAUCUUUUCUACAAAUUUCCUUUCCACCGCCACGUGUCAGUCUCUACUAGCUGUUCCUAACUUUCACCGGCUACUCCAGUCACCAUACCUAAGAAACAAAAUAAAAUAUUCCAUCACAUAGGGUGAGAAACUGGAAAAGCAAAACUCACUGUACGCACAGUGUCGCAGAGGGACAGAGAUAGAGCAGAGUCUGAGUGAAACAUCCAUUCCUUCCUCCUCCUCUUCCUCCUCGUGAUUCCCGAACAUUCUCUUCUUAUUCCAGCUCCACGCGCGUGAUUCCGCUCUCAAUACUCGCGCCAUUGUUCUUCUUCUUCCGUAAAGAAUCUUAGGGUUUGCUGAAUGCUGAAUGCGGCUUUGCUCGCACACUGACUCUUCACACUACAAUGUCCGGCCCUCUCGACCGUUUCGCCAGACCAUGUGACUUUUCUUUCUCUAUCGAACUCUUUUUUAGGGUUUUAGGUUUUCUUUUUUGCUGAUGAAACGGUUCGUUUUGGCUCUGCCUUGCAGGUUUCGAAGGUUUCUCCGGGAGCGACGAGAAGAAGGAGCGGAGAUCUGAUUUUGAGAACUCCGAGGACGAACGGAGGACCAGAAUCGGAUCUCUCAAGAAGAAGGCGCUCAAUGCGUCGUCCAAGUUCAAACACACGCUGAAGAAGAAGAGCAGCAGAAGGAAGAGCGAUGGCCGCGUCAGCUCUGUUUCCAUCGAGGAUGUUCGGAAUUUCGAGGAGCAGCAGGCCGUUGAUGCAUUUCGCCAGUCCUUGAUCAUCGACGAAAUGCUCCCCGAAAAACACGAUGAUUACCAUGUCAUGUUAAGGUGUGCAUUAACCAGAUAAAUGCGAGGUGUUAAAUGAACAAACUCAAUUGUUUUUUUUUUUGCUUGAUUUUUAUACAUUUUGCAGGUUUCUGAAAGCGAGGAAAUUUGAUGUUGAAAGGGCGAAGCAUAUGUGGGCUGAUAUGCUACAAUGGAGGAAGGAGUUUGGUGCUGACACUAUUAUGGAGGUUAGUGCAGAUUGAUUCGGAUAAUGUUUGAUGUUUAGUGUAGGGUUCAAGAUUAGCCUCUGUGAUGGUUAGAUUUGUAUGUUGUGGAUUGCUGCAUACUCUGUAUAAUAUUUGCUUAAUGUUUUGUGUUUGCUUUAGGAUUUUGAGUUCGUAGAAUUAAAUGAAGUUAUGAAGUAUUAUCCGCAUGGUCAUCACGGUGUUGAUAGGGAGGGAAGGCCUGUUUACAUUGAGAGACUUGGGAAAGUAGAUCCGAACAAACUUAUGCAGGUUACAACCAUGGAUAGAUAUGUGAAAUACCAUGUACGGGAAUUUGAGAAAGCUUUUAAGAUAAAGUUUCCUGCUUGCACAAUUGCCGCCAAAAGACACAUAGAUUCAAGCACCACGAUAUUAGAUGUUCAAGGAGUGGUAUGUUGCUGCUAAUUGUUCCUCAUUGUAUGUGUCUAUGUGUUCCUGUGACAUACGGCAAAUUUAUGGUGUAGUUUCAACUUUUAGGGCCUCAAGAACUUUACAAAGUCUGCCCGGGAACUAAUUUUGCGGUUACAAAAGAUUGAUGGUGACAAUUACCCUGAGGUGAGUAAUAUCAGUUUGUGUGUAAUCUUGUAUUACGUUACGUUCCUGUUUUGAUUUCAUCCAAAAAUUUAAAGAAUAAAUUUUACCAAGGUGUCAAUGGUUGAGGAUGAUUGAUAUGUUUUUUCUUAUUAAUGAUACAGACUCUUUGUCAAAUGUUUAUCAUAAAUGCCGGCCCUGGAUUUAGGUUACUGUGGAACACCGUCAAGUCUUUCCUUGAUCCCAAAACAACUUCAAAGAUCCAUGUAUGUAAAAAGUGCUAUAUUGUAGUUGCUUAAGGCUCCUUUUUUUGUUGGUUUAUGAAUGCUGACAUUGCUUGGUGCCUGUGUGGAAAUAUUGCUUAGGUUCUUGGAAAUAAGUAUCAAAGCAAAUUGCUUGAAGUAAUCGAUGCCAGGUACACAAUGGGCCUAUUUCUCUAUAACCAAGUGUUAGAAAUUUUGUAAUUUAUAUGCUUGUAUCAAUAAUGUAUUUAACCAUCACUAACACUUUUCUUAAUAUUGUUGUGCACUUAAUGAAGCGAGUUGCCGGAAUUUCUGGGGGGUACAUGUACAUGUGCAGAUCAAGGUGGUUGCCUCAGAUCUGAUAAGGGACCCUGGAAAAACCCUGAAAUUUUGAAGGUAUACACUGAUGUUUCUUUCUAAAAUGCUCAACACUUGCUAUAUGAUACGAAUGUUGCUACAUGCUAACUGUACUGUUAAUCGCACGGGGAAAUUUGCAGAUGAUUCUUAGCGGUGAAGCACGAAGAGCAAGGCCUGUUGUAAAAGUUCUAAACAGUGAAGGAAAGGUUAUUGCAUAUGCCAGACCACAAUACCCAAUGGUAAUAUGUUGUAUGGUUUAUUAUUGCUUGAAUCUGGUGGAGGCUGAAUUGAUUCCUUUGUACUUCUUCAGGCUCCUUUUCAUUUUGUAACCUUAUUGACUGUGUCACUUCUUUCUUGCAGGUAAAAGGUAGUGACACAUCCACAGCUGAAUCAGGGUCUGAAGCUGAAGAUAUUGCUUCUCCAAAAGCAAUGAAGAGCUACUCUCACCUUAGGUUGACACCUGUUCGUGAGGAAGUAAGUGUUGAUUUUCUGAUAUGUUUACUCACACUUUUCAUUAAAUUGGUAGAAUUUUCAAUUCAUUGAUUGUAGUACUUCUGUGCACUUAAUUUUACUGGCUGCAAAAUUUUCUCUGAUCAUUCUUGCACCUAUUAGCUUUUUAUUUAACACUUGUUUGAUCAGUUGUAUUUAUAUGCAGAAGAUAUUCACUAUGAUUAAUGAUUUAAUGAGGAUGAUCAAAAUAUAUUACGUUUCAAGGAACUUGUUCUUAGGAUUUUCCCUGGUCUAUUCUAAACAGAGAAGUUAUUUACGUUUUGUGUUCAGGCUAAGGUUGUUGGAAAGUCGAUCUAUGUUGGUGGUGGUAACUUGGCUGGGUAUGAUGAAUAUGUUCCGAUGGUGGACAAAGCUGUUGAUGCUGGCUGGAACAAACAAGCAUCACUCCAGAGGGCUCAAACUUCAAAAGGUAAAACAACUUUAGCUUAUUGUUAUUAUAGUUACCUAUUGUAUGAAUCUUCUCAUGGUGCUUAUUCAUAAAAAGAAAAAUAACACCAAUGCUUAAAACAUAAGUGCGUUGUUUAAGAUCUUGUAUCUGCAUUCUGUUCUAAAUAUCAGUUAAAACUUGUUUUGUUAGUAACAUAGUGACACUAUUUGCGCUUUAACUUUUGCAGGACAUUUGAUGGCUGUAAGAGCGUCAAUGUCAUGAGUUUUUGCCUUAUGCUGUGUCAUUAUACAAAAGAUUAUACCCCAAUUGAAUCAUGAAUUUUGUUUAAUUAACGUUUGAUUAAAAUUAACUCAAUUUUUGAUAGGCUAUUGAACGCAUGGCAUGAUUUUCUUUUGACACUUGUGCUCUUGUUAGUAAUCCUCCCCCUUGUUUUUAUAAUACAAUGCCCUCGUGUUUUUGAAAUUUGAAUUUGUUUUACUGUGAUGAUAAAUGGUGUUUUAUAUCGGGUGUGUUCUGUAAUUUCUAGUCCGUUAGAGACAAACUGUUUGGGGACCCACACUCGGGAGUUUAAGGUAUUGGAACAGUUGGUCCCUAACCUGGCAUUUGUUUUGUCAGGGCGGGAUUUAUACGGGAUUAUAAGCAAUUGCAUAAGUCCUUGUCUUUUAAGAUUUAGGAAGCGCUAGUUCUUUUCUUGUUUUCAUGAUUUGAAUUUUUUGAUUUAAUUUUCUUCAGGAUUGUUAAAUUGAAUUUUGUAUUACAGGAACACCUUCCCUCCCUGAUCCUCCACAAACUCCCAUAGGGGUUCGAGCUCGGAUGCUGGGGGCUCUAACUGCUUUCUUUAUGAUGCUGUUUACCCUCUUCCAUUCUGUCGCAUACCGUGUGACCAAGAAACUUCCCGCUUCAUCAUCUAAUGAGGAUCAGUGCACUUCAGAGACACCCGAUAGUACAACCAGCGAAGACAACCAUCCUCCGUCACCAACUCCAGCACACAGAGAGGAAAGUCUCCUUUCCUCAAUGGUGAAAAGGUUAGGUGAGCUUGAAGAGAAGGUUGACACACUCCAAUCUAAGCCAUCUGAGAUGCCUUACGAGAAAGUGGAAUUGCUAAAUGCUGCUGUAUGUCGGGUGGAUGCUUUGGAAGCAGAGCUAAUUGCAACUAAAAAGGUAGUAACCUAUACUUUCGCUUUUCCAUAAUUCUUUUAAACACUGCAGUCUUGAUAAUUACUUUGAGGUGUUUCCAUGUCUUAUUUUAUCUGUUAUCUUUAAAUGCAAAACCAAAAUCUUACCUUUCCUGUUAGCUGGCCGCCACAAGAAUAUAUCGAUGAGCACAUUAUUAAUGAAUAAAUGCAAUAUUUUCAUGUCUGUUUUUUUAUUUAUUUUUUUAAAUUCUAACCAAUUUUUUUGUCUAUAUGGAACUAAGGUAUGAUAGUUAUUUUAAGUUAAAAAAUCACACGAAAGAAAAAUGAAUGUUUUUCUUGCCUAUAUGUCUCGUGUUGGUUGUUAAACGGGUGUAUUUGUUUUAUGGCAGUUUCGUUAUUUUAGAUUUUAAUUCCUGUACAGUUUCAUUUAAAUGGUGAAUUAGGAAAAUUUGUUAUUGCAGUUGUACUUUUGCUCUCUUUAUGCAUACAUGUAUUUUUCUCUCCUAUUUAUGUUUGGGUGAGUUUCAUAUUUGACCGUGAAAAUGUGAUGAGUACUUGGUUUUUUACUCUUUCCUUACUUGAAGAAUACUGUUACAUUUGUACUUUCUGGAUUGUUCGAUAGGCUCUAUAUGAAGCAUUAAUGAGGCAAGAAGAGCUGCUUGCUUACAUUGAUAGUCAAGAAGAAGCUAAGUCGCGGGUAAGUUUGUCUCAUAUUUUUAAUACAGUUUUAUGGAUGUUAUGCAAAUCUCUGAUAUUUAUAUAUUGCUGUUUAUCAGAAGAAGUUUUGCUGGUGAGUUUUGGCUGGCUGAUAAAGGGACUCUGGGAGAGGGCAUUUUUUCGAAUCAUGGUGUUCUUAGUGCCGACACUUUGCACAUUAGGUUGAUCCCUGAACACUAAUUUUCUGUUUAAUGCGUACACUCGAGAGUUGUCAAACUCGUGUAUAGCUAAUAGCUUUUUUUCCGGAUUAAAAACAACCCUUGUUUUUGCUCUCUGCCCACCUUUAUUAUAUUUGGUGUGAUUGUCUUGUUAAUUUGAGAAGCGUUUGUCGUUCUGAUGAUCUCAUGAUUUUCCUUAAAUAUUAAUCGAUUUUGGGGGAUAUCCAGGGGAGACAAAGCUAAAAAAUAAAUAGUCCCUCUGAAGCAUUUAGGAAACGGGGCAUAUUUCGUGUUAAAUCCCGUAUAAAUAAGGCACGCGAACAAUGGUAAUUUUAUUUCUCAAAUUAGAAGGUAAUGAUGGUACAAUACGGUAAAUAUGUGGAUUCGUUUGGCGUAACCUUUUUGUGCUGUCGUAGAUGGUUGAAGUGAAGUUCCGUUUGUCAGUCAAAUAGCAAGUGGAGUGUCUCAGACAGUUGGAACCAACUUCACUUCAUCACAGGGACGACUUUAGUACAACAGGAACUGAGGAUUAAGCUGACGAAAACGCCUGUCAUUUGGUUCAACUAGUUAGUGCAAGUACAUUUUGAGAAAAACAAUGAUCUAAUAAUAUCAAAAUUUAACAAUCUUGCCUUUGCGAUCAUUUUCGUUACAUAGUUAUACUUUUAUGCGUAAACACAAUUGUGAGAGAGUGUCCUACUGUCUAAAUACAGAAUAUUUAAUUGGAAUAGAGGAGAAAUUAUACAAGGUGAAUGUAAUAGGAUCUGAUGGGGCUGAUAAAAGGAACGCCUCCAAGAAUAUACAACUCAUGCUAAUGUUAAUAUUUGAUUGAGGUCAGACAGCAAUCGACACCCAACGCCUUACCAGCGGAACUGCGAUCACGAACCCGAAAUCUUGUGUAAGGAGGGAAAGCACUACACACAGGUAACAAAUUAUUAUAGCUUACAAACUUCACAUGACUCACGAACGCAACGUCAUACUAUAAAAUCAAGGUUCGUAUGACUCACCAUUCUCUUCUUUUUCUUUUUAUCAAUUUGACCUUGAAGCUCCACUUGUCGGAUAAGGGCAUCGUCAAGUGACUAAGAAACAGAAAAAAAAAGUACAAAAAAUGUAAGCUUUUUUUUUAAUCAUAUAUCAAUCAAUGUUAUUCUCAAAUGAUGAUGAGGUUGUAGUAUGAAGGAAAACCAAUAAUACCUUUUUGGUAAUUACCAAUUCUUGUUCCAGCGUACUGAUUCUGCUAAGAGCCUUAUUCAGCAAUUCUUCCAUCUCAGCUGGUAUGUCAGGUUUCUUAGAGAGGAUAUUCACCUUCUCUUCUAGUUCAACCAUGCGCUUCAUCAUGGACAUUUGAUCAUCCAUGCAAAUUGCAGGUGCUUUCAUUUUGUUGCCAUUACAAUGUGCUGUGUUACCAAACAAGUCAGUUCCAGUGAUUUUUUUUGGCACUUUCUUUGCCAGGCGGAUAACUGUUAUCACUGCCAUAAGAACUGACAUGAUUCCACCAGUAAAUGGGACUCUAAACUUAUUAGAAUUACUGUUGCUAGACAAACAAUCUUUAGAAAGGGCUAACUGAUCUUUUCGUUCUGCUUUCUCCCAAGAUGAAUUCACUGGGGCAAAUGCCACCUGCUAAUAUGCAAAGAGAGUACCCAAAGAGAUGGUCAAUUCUGCAGUUAUGUUCUCAUCAAACACUUGAUUUAUAUUUCAUGCAAAAAGUUCUUGUUCCUCACCAUGAAAAUUACUGAAUGUUAUUCAGAUACAUAGGCUAGAGUUUAUAGAUAAAUACAUAUAGAAUGAAAACAUCAAAUGAUCGAAAAUCUAAGAAACUUACUUCUGGAGCAGCACAGGGAUCCUCCACGGCUGCAGAUUCUUUAAAAGAAUCGCAUUCCUAAGAUUAUAGGAAAACAAAUCAAGUUAUCAGAUUUUCUGACAAACAGAGGAUGGCAAGAAAAUUUCAGAGCAAAACUGAAUUUGAAAUUGUAAAGUACGUAACUGCUUACCUUUUGGCAUUCUGUAUCAUCUUCAAUUAUGGUUUUCACUUCGAUCCCGGAUAAAGCUUUCCUCUUGCAUUUUCCUGCUCCAUUUUGAACCAUCUAGUGCAUCCAAACAAAACAUCACUUCAUUACUAUCUUUUCCUAAUCGCACAACUAAAAAAAAUUUGAUCUUACUACCUUGAAGAUUUCUGGGUCAUUCCAUGGUCCCUUGUCUGAAAGCAAGCAACCACCUUUGUCUUCACAGGUACAAGUACCACCCAAGAACUCUGGAAGUUCACUGGUAAAUGAUAUAAGAACAAUGUGUUAUGUAUGGCCUUGAAUAGUAUAUUGUUCUUCAGUCACACAUGUUAAAAGAACAUCCUCGUUAAUGAGUAUGAUCAGAGAUUGUCAUUACUGUUUACUCAAUCUAAACCAUCUCUCAGCAUAUCGUUAAUGUGAUAAACUUGAAUUCAGAUGAGAAUGAGAACGGAGAAAAACAUUCACCUGGCAUCAAUGAUUUCAAGUAACUUGCUCUGAUAUUUGUUACCUAGGACCUGGCAAAUAAAGCAGUAAUCUAUUGAGAGCUCCUGCUUAACUGAAACCAACAUUGCUUGGGUGUGAAAAGUAUAUAAAAAUUUCUUACAUGGAUUUUGGCGGUGGUCUUAGGAUCAAGGAAUGACUUGACAGUGUUCCACAACAGCCUAAAUCCUGAACCAGCAUUAAUGAUGAACAUACGGUUUAAGGUCUGAAAAGAAAAGUUCAGUCAGGUUAAAUUCAGAAUGCGACAUUUUAGUCAGGAACGUGAAGUAGUACCUCAGGGUAGUUGUCACCAUCAAUCUUCUGAAGACGUUGGAUGAGAUCCCUUGCAGCUUUGUUCAAACUUUUUAGACCCUGAAUACAGAUGCUAGUCAGCAAUCAUGUAAAACUUCUUUUACAUAUGCACCUGAGAUACGGAUGUCACCUCCUAAAUGUAACUUAUGCAUGAUAUAAUUUAAUUAAGGAGUUCCUGUGGAGUUUUACUCUUUCUGGUUUGAACAUGGAACAGAAAGUAAAAGCUAAACAUGCGGUAUUAUAGUAUUGCUGCAUAUUUUCAUACAUACCACUCCUUGCACAUCCAAGAUUGUUGUGCUUUGGUCAAUGUGUUUCUUGGCUGCAAUGGAACAAGCAGGGAACUUAACAGCGAAUGUCCUCUCAAACUCUCUCACAUGGUACUUAAGAUAGCGAUCCAAAGUUGUGACUUGCAACAGCUUGUUAGAGUCAACCUGACCCAACCUUUCUAUGUAAACAGGUUGCCCUUGCUUAUCAACUCCAUGAUGCCCUUGUGGGUAGUAUUUUAGGACUUCUUCUAACUCCUUGAAUUCAAAAUCCUUAACAAGACAACAAAAGAAAAAAAUUGUUAAAAAAUAAAUUUUAAAGUGUAAUUCAAUCUCAUGAAACUAAUAUGUAAAUUUAAGUUUGUAUUCAUUUAUAUAUUAUAUAAAUUGGUGUUAUUUAUUAGAUUUUCAACAAUCACAUAAAAGUACAUUCAUGGACAUUGUUUUUUCUUCAUCCACAGGAAGUUACCUCCAGAAUUGUGUCAGCACCAAACUCCCUCCUCCACUGAAGCAUAUCUGCCCACAUUUGUUUUGUUUUCUCGAUUUCAUAUUUUCUUGCUCUCAAGAAUCUAGGCCACCAUUUUAUAUUACAGGUAUUAGUAAAUCAGCAAAUGGACAAGAAACUAGUCAUAAGGUCUGAGGGGUAUACCUUAACAUCAUAUGAUGAUCAUCAUGCUUUGAGGGUAAUAGUUCUUCUAAGAUGAGUGUUUGGCGAAAAGCAUCAACUGAUUGCAACUCUUCUGCAUCAACUUCAUCCUCAAUAGCAAUAGACAUAACUCUGCUAUGCCUUCUCCCCUUCUUUUGCAAGGAAUGCUUGAACUUUGAAGAUGCACUGAUUGCUACCUUCUUGAAAGAGCCAAGCUUUUUUUUCUUAUCAUCCUCUGAGUAUUCCAUCUCAGCACCUGGUUUUGCAUAACCCAAAUUACUCACAGAAGUUUCAAAAGGAAGACAAGAAAUUCGCAAACUGAUGUUUUAUUUUUGUUAUUAACAAUAAACAACAUCCAAUAAUACCACAACAUUAUUCAAAUAAACUACAUUAUUAUGAAUUUAACAUAUAAGUUAUGUUAAUACUGCAAAAACCCAUUGAUCAUUUUCUAUUAGUACCACAACAUUAAUUUGGAUUCAAGCUUCUUUCUUUUUGUUAUGAACCUCACAUUACAAUCACUCUAUCCGUUUUAAGAAAAAAAUCUCUCUCAUAUACCCAUAAGCCAUACCUCAAAUAAUCAUGCAUUGAUAAUACGUUCAUAGACAAUUACAAAGGCAAUCAAAGAUCUGAAUUAUAUCUCGAUUUCCAUCAAUGAUUCCUCUAACUGGUGAAUGAGCUUUAUAAUAAAAACAUUCUAAAUAGCAAAUGCCCGUCAGAUAUAUAUAAUCAUCUGAUUUCAGCUUUCUUCAAUUUUCAUUCUUCUCAUCUUCAUACAUUGAACAUGUCAACAUGCAAACAAAACAGUUAAAUUCAAACAUCAUUGCCUAAAGGGUGUGCAAAAAUUGAUUACACAGCACAUGCAUAACAUAUAUAAGUAAUCAACCAAAGAAUGAAAAGGGAAGGAAAUUGGAAAACAUAGAUUUUACCACCUUUAGCAGGUCGAUCUGUGAUAGUUAUGGAGGGCACAGCUACAAUGUCAGACAUGAUUAAUUAUCGAACCUCGUAAGCUCCUCAAAUGAGAACAGACGUAAGGUAGAAGAGAAUCAACAAUAUUCGCACAUGCGCCUACUCCUUAGCUUAAGCCAUCAAAUAACAUCAUGCAUGUCAGAAGCUGAAAAACCAUUUCUUUUACACACCAAUAUGAACCCUUUUUCAAAUAUAUUCAUCAUGCAUUGGAAAAGAAAACAUCAAAGCCAAAAGCAUAAAGAUAUGCUUACAAUGAUACAUAUAUAUAAUGAUACAAUGCAGUUGAAGAAGCUAUAUUGAACCUAAGGGGGUUCAAAAAGUUGAUGAAUCAACAUGAGAGAGAGAGAGAGAGAGAGAAAGAGAAUGGAGUAGAAUGGUAGAUGAAAUACCUGUGAGUUGCAGGAAUAUAGGCGUUGCAGAAGCAAAGAAAACGUAAAUUUAUGAUCCGAAUAAGUCUGUGACAAUAUAUAGAAGUGCCAGAAAAAGAAGCGAGGUUGGUGCAACUCGUUUUUAGGGUUUGCUGUUUUUUUCGAGCUUCUGUUUCUACUAGAAGGAUUACAGAUGGAGAUGGUGCUGGCGAAAUGCAUGCAACUCCAUUCUUUCAUAUUCUCUCCACUACGCAACCCUUUCUAUCUUCUUUACUAUGCUUUAUAUGCUAUUCUAGGUUUUUUUUUUUUUUUUUAACAUAUAUAUGUUUAUUUAUUUAUUUAUAUAGCAUAUAAAUUUAACUUGUAAAAUUCUAUGAGUAAUUGAAUUACUUAUAAAAUUAAAUUGUAUAUAAAUUUGUGUAUCAAUUUUUGUUUGUAUUCCUGCAUUAAUUAUUGAUAAACGUCUUUGUAAUAUUUUUUUAUUGGCGAUACGAUUUCUUUAUCAUGUGGGAAAUGUUAGUGCAUAUAACAAAGUUAAAAAAAUUAUUUUUAUAAUAUUAGAUACGUAAUUUUCAUUAGCUAAAAAUAAUUUCAACUAAUGUUAAUUUGUUAAUGCCAGUUAAAAAAUUGAUUAAUUUUAAUAACAAAAUAACAUCAAUCCAAGAUCAAUAAAACCUAUCACUGGUAUUUUUAAGUUAUUACAAAUUGUUCGACACUUAACCAACCUUUUUUAAAGAAUGAUAAGUGAAAUAUUUUAUUUAAAUAAACAAUUAAAAUUCAAUAAAUUUAAAUUAAUUCAAAUUCAAUCUAUUUAAAUAUUUUAUAAAUUGUGAAACUCUCUCUAAAUACAAAGUUAAAGUAUGCUUAGAAAAUAUUCCUAUAUAUUGAAAUGUUGUAAUUUACUAUACUGAAGUGUUGUAUUCCUAAUGUUAGCUAGCGAAUUAUACAUAAAUGUAUAUGAUUUAGCUUUGGAAUAUUAUGGUUUUUUUUUAUCGAAAUAGGUAAAAGUGAUUUUGAAUUUACGUAUUUAGAUAAAAAAAAAACUUUUUUUUUACAGUAAUAGAUAAUUGUGAGUCAGACGACUUUAAAUGAAAAAAUUAUAUCUUUCUACACAAGUUUAGUCUUAUAUAUAUAUAUAAAAAAAAUAGAUUAAUUAAAUUAUUAGAAAAAAAACAGUAAAGAUUUAAGAAGUAUACGACUUUUAUAGUUAAAAGUUGUAUAUCCCUCACAUCUUCAACUUUUUAAUAAUUUAAUUAAUUUAAACUAUAUCUACUUAAUAUCAAUUAAUGAAAAUAUAAUUUAAAUAACAUAAUUUUAAUAAAUAUUGUGUAAAAUUAACUAAUUGACAAAAUUAGAAAACAAAAUUAUUUUAAUUACAAACAUAAAUACUAUCAAAUAUAUAUAAUUCAUUAUAUUUAAAAACAUAAAUUAUUAAUUAAAAAUGAUUUAGAUUAAUUAAAUUUUUAAUUAAUAAUUUAUGUUUUUAAUUAAUAGUUUAUGUUUUUAAUUAAUAAUUUAUGUUUUUAAUUAAUAAUUUGUGUUUUGGAUUAAUAAUUUAUGUUUUUAAUUAAUAAUUUAUUUUUUUAAUUAAUAAUUUAAUUAACUUAAACCAUUUUUAAUUAAUAAUUUAUGUUUUAAUUAAUAAUUUAUGUUUUUAAAUAUAAUGAAAUAUAAUAUUUGAUAGUAUUAAUUAUGUUUGUAAUUAAAUAAUUUUGUUUUCUAAUUUUGUCAAUUAAUUACUUUUAGACAAUAUUUACUAAUAUUAUGUUAUUUAAAUUAUAUUUUAUUAAUUUAUAUUAAGUAUGUAUAAUUUAGAUAAUUAAAUUAUUAAAAGAAGUAAAGAUGUAAGGAGGUAUACAACUUGAUUUACAUCUGAUUUUUUUUAAUAAUUUAAUUAAUCUAAAUUCUUUUUUUUAUAGGAUAAUGAUAUUUAGACAACAUUUUUUUGACAAUAUUUGAACAUUGAUUACGUGUCAAUCUGUGAUUGAUAAAAAAUUACUCCACAAUAAUGUUUAUGAUUAUUAUUAUUAUUGAUUGUGAAGUAAUUUUUGACCAAUCACAGAUUGACACAUAAUCAAUGUUCAAAUGUUGUCUAAAUAUCAUUAUCUUUUUUAUAUGUUAGACUGAAAUCGUAUAGAAAAUAUGACUUCUUGGUUUAAAGUCAUUUAGAUCUUAGGACUUCUCUAUUUUCAUAAAAAUAAAUUGUUUAAAUAUAUAAAUUCAAAAUCACUUUUCCUAUUUAGUGAAAAAAACAAUAUUAUGAUAUAAUAUCUUAUUUGAAAAUUGUAUAUGGUUUGGAGCUCUUAUGAUGAAAUAAACUACUUCCAUUUUCAUAACCAUAUGAUCUUUUUCUCCUUGUUUGUGUGCUAAUCUGGCCAUUCAUAAUGUAGUUGCUCCCUGCAUCAGAUUGGGAAAAGCUUACAAUGAGUAAUAAUUAUUAAUAUAAAGCUUAUUCUUAUCUUGAAUGAAAGUUCAAGUUGUACCUGAAUAUAGGAGAUUAUUCAGCAUUUAAAAAUAGCAAGAUAAAUGUAGUAGCUAACAUAAUAAUUAAUUUUGUACUCGAUUGACGUUAGACUAAUAUAAAUAUAACUUUGUAUUUUGUUGGAGAUUAUAUAUUAACUUGAAAUAUGAUGAUUUUAUAUAUAUAUAUAUAUAUAUAUAUAUAUAUAUAUAUAUAUAUAUAUAUAUAUAUAAAUUUUAAGUUUUGUAAUAUUAAAUUAAGUUUAAAAUUUAUUUUGUAAGAUGAUUUGUUAUUUAUUAGAUUUAUUGUAUAUUUUUAUCAUAUUAUCUUUAAUAUUUCGUCUUAUAUUUUAGAUAGACGUGUUUUAGUACAAAGGAAUUGGGUUGAAUAUCUCAUAUUUAUUAAUUGGUUUUAUAGGCUCAAAUUAAAGUCAAUUUUAAAAAAAAUUAAAUUUUGUAUUAUAAGUGAAAAUAUUAAAUCAUAUAAAAUAAAAUAUGUAUAAAUUUAUUGUUCUGAUAUUUUGGAUUAAAAAUGAUAAUUUAAGUUUAACUUGCAUUUUAUUAAUGAAUCUCUUUGGUAAAUCCUUAAAAAUCUAUGGCUGAUUCGUUGAAGGCAUAUGGUUUUUAAUUUUAAGGAUUGUUGGUCAAAAAGAAAAAGAAAGAAGAAGACAAACAUGGAAGGUUCGUUUUUUCCAACUACUUCCAUCUACCAAGAAAGAAUAUAAUGGUAAUAGGCAAGUUCAUGCUACCAUAAACAAUAUCAAACAUUUAUUUUCUCAUUUUCAUGGGCAUUGUUUUAGUGGUGGAAUCGAGCUACUAUCGAUAUCUUUACAAUUUGUCUUUUAGACUGUCCGGUUCCAUCUCUUACUGUCUUCUUUUCAUGAAUAUCGUCUGAUCUUGUCUUCAGAUCUCCUUCUUCUUAUGAAUAUCGUCCGGUCUUUUGCCCUUAGAUCUCUUCUUCGAUUGGAUACUGUACAGUGGGGUACCUGCCGAUGCUCAAGUCAGUGUACAAUUCACUCAGUAAAUCCAAAACAGUAAUAAAUGUGUAAUAAAUAUAAAUCACCCACUUCAUACCUUUGACCUAUAUUAUAGUUUUUAUGAUGGGCUUAUGAUAAGUGGGUUCUUAAUCAUGGCCCAAUAGCCGAUAUUCGUUCUUGGGUCACGGUCCGCCAUGGCCACCUCCGACCAGUUAAUUUUUCUCCUGCCUUCCUGGGGAUACAUUUUCAAUUCGGUGGCAUAACAAUCCCUCAUCGUCUUCUAUUCAGCUCGCACACCCUUGUUGGUCGGGUACUUCAUGGUGAGAUGUGGGGUAGACACAAUGGCCCCGAAGACAUUUGGACAUGGUCGUCCUAAGAGGACGUUGUAUGAAGUGUUGGCUUCUACCAGUAGGUAGUGCACCCUCUUCUCUUUGCUUUCCUGGUCCCAGGCGAGUACGCAGGUUAAUAUCCUGGUGUCUACUCUUUCGCCUGCAAAUUUCACUAAUCAAAAGUCCAUAGUAAAAACUAUAAAUAUAGGUCAAAGAUAUGAGGUGGUGAUUCACAUUUACUGCACAUUUACUACUGCUCUAUAUUUAUUGAGUGAAUUGUGCACCGACCUAAGCGUCAGGGAACUUUUACAGGUACUCGAUCGGAAGGUAUCCAAUUGAAGAAGAGAUCUGAGAAACAGACCUGACGGUAUUCAUAAGAAAAAAGCAUCAGGAGGUGGUACUAGACGAACUAGAAGACAAAUUGUGAAGGUAUCGAUAGUAGUUUAACUCCACUAUCGAAACAGCCAUCAAUGUAUAAAUGAUUUUUGUUUGUUUUUUUUAGCAUUAUUGAAAAUCUGUAACCAAAUAAUAUUAUCAUUAAGAAACAAAUGCUGACAGACUGUAAUAGUAAGCAGCAUCAUGGGAAGCCAUAUCCCGAAUAAUGACAAAACAUUAUUGGCAAACAAUGACGGAUAAUAUAUUCGAACUUUAGAGUUACUCAAUUAUCAUUAUUAUUAUUUAAAUCGAAAUUCAUACGUUCUUGCUUUAAGGGACAACAUUCCACAACAAUUAUUGAUAAUUCAUUCAAAAAAUUUCUUUGUAAUAUACAAAAUUUGUUCAAUCUUGCUCUUAUCCAGAGUCGCAUCUAAAUAUUGUCAGUUUCGCAAUGUUAUAUAUAUUUUUUAUCAUAGUCUUAUUCUUUGAAAAAUAUUAAUAAAUUAAUAGAAAUACAUAUAUGUUGAAACAAAUUUUUAUCAAGACACAAAUUUUUUAUAUUAUUUUUUAAUAAAAUAAAAACUAUAAAAUAAAUUUUAAACUUAAUUCAAUUUUACAAAUAUAAUUUUUUCAAUGAAACAAUAUAUUUUUUAUCAUAGUCUUAUUCUUAAUAAAAAUCUUAAUAAAUAUAUAUAUAUAUAUAUAUAUAUAUAUAUAUAUAUAUAUAUAGUUGUAUAUAAUGUUUUUAAUAUUGAAACAAAUUUUGUUUUUUGAUAUUAUUUUUCAAUAAAAUAUAGAUUUGACCAAAUAAGAAAACUUUAAAGUAAAGUUUGUUUUUACAUAUGUAUUUUAAAUUAAUCUUAUUUAACAUACUUUUUGUGUCAAGAUAUACACAUAUUUUAUGUGUAAAACUAUAUAUUAAAUGAUGAUAUAAUGCAUGUUUAAUGUGUGAAACUAUAUAUUAUAUUAAUUGAUGAUAUGAUAACAAAUAAAAUAAUAUAUUUAACAUAUAAUAAGUUUUAUUAUAAUAAAAAUAAGUGAAUCUUUUAAAAAUAAAAUAACAUCUAAGAAACCAUAUAAUAUAUUAGGUACAGAGAAAACUAGAAUUGGUAAGAAACCAUGAAUUUGGUCAAAAUCGAGUGAGCAAACAGAGGAAGCCGUGAAAGAAAGGAAAACGAACUAUAAACUCUAAGUUCCACGGAUUGGCAGAAGAGAAUAACUCAAAAGGUGGAAAAGAUGAAUUAGUAAGUGAAAAAGAAGAAGCUAAAGUUACAAAUGUUUUUAUAUGAUAUAAACCUCUAAACGAAGAGGAACAUAGACGAAUCGGUAGAAAACCUUACCUAUUGAACUGAGGUGAGUUUGAACAAAUUUACCUAGCGAUUGGAGCUUCAGUCAUGGCUCUGACACCAUGUUAGAAGUGGACUUUAAGCCAAACUCAACUCCACAAAACUGGCUUGUAGGGUGAGAUUUACACCCACUUAUAUACACUUAAAUGGCCUCAUCUCUAGUCGAUGUGAGACUUCCAACAAGUUUCCUACCUUAAAAAUGAACAAACAAAGAAAAAACUAUGAUAGAAAGGAAAUUAGACUACAAAGACGAAAAGUGAAAAUCAUAACAUGCAGAAAGACUAGGAUUAAUAGAAAAUAUUUAGUGAUUACUUAAAAAAAAUUAUUUUAAAAAAAUAAAUAUUAAGAAUAGUUUUACUCAUUAAACUACCAAAAUUACUUGAGGUUAUAAAAACCACCCGAAAAUAACUUUUUUUAUUGUUUUUGUAAUGAUAAUAACUUAUAAAUUGUUGUGUGUUUUGUUGACGAAGACGGUCAAUAUUCUCUAAAAAAAAUCUUAAAUAAAAGUUAAAUAUAAGUGUUUGAAUAAUCUAAUGAAAACAUUUCCACUAAUUAACUUGGUACUACAUUAUUUAUCAAUAUCAAUUAAUUAGCAAGAUGUAUCAUGUGAUUGCCUCGUGGACAACUAAGAUCAAUAAGUCAAACAUUCCAUGCAAUUUGAUAGGUGUCAUGAGUAUAAGAAUUUUCCGCGUUACCAAUGUGGGGUCCGCACUUUGUAUAAUAUUACCUACUUAGUAUUUUUAAGCAUCCCUCGUCUUUUGAAUUCCAAAAAUACCCUUACAACCUCAAUAUUAUUACCAAAUUAAACUUCUAAUAUAAUAAUAGUAACAGUUAGCUAAUUUAUAUUUGAUUUUUUUUUCUCAGUUGUAAUUUUAAUAAUGUAUUUUUACAAAAAAUAUAAUUUGGUUUUAAAAUUAUUUUGUAUAAUUUAUCACAAUAAUCUAAUAUUAAUAAUUUUAUUAUUUUUAUUCAGAAAUUAUUUUUAAGAUUUAAAUAUAUUAAAUCAAUAUUAAAUUAAUAUAUGGCAAUUGAUUUCUGUAACUGCUAUCCUUCUCAGUAUUGUAAAAAAAAAAGCCGUUAUAAUAAUAUGUGAUGUUAAAGACAACUUUAUGGUGAUAGAUAAUUAAAUUAAAUUAAAAAGUGAAACUAUGUAUAUACAUUUAAAAAUUAACAGGUUAAAAUUAUAUACAAAAUAUACAAAAGUUAAAAAUAAAAGAAAUGAAUUUUGAGCAAGUUGAUAGAGAUCAAAAUAAUCUUUAAACUAUUUUUCAAUAAAACUUUUGUAUGACUUUUUCAUGGCUGACUACGAGUUUAUGAUUGUUGAAUUAUCUGUAUAUAAGUUACUGGUCAAUAAAUUGUAUCUAUUUUCUAAUAAUAAUCCAAAGAAAUAAAUUAUUAAAAAUACAAUUUUAGGCCUUUCAACAAUUAAAUAAUUUUUAAUUUUAACCACUAUUCUUGGAUUCUAAUUAAUGUUUAAUGAAGAGGACACACAUCAUUUAGAUAGAAUCAUAUAAAAGUAAAAUUCUCCAUUUAAAACCAUUAUUAAAAUUUCGGUAAAAGAAAUCAUGAAUAGAAAUAAAUUAUUCUCAUAUGAGUUUUUUCAAAGAUGAACCAUUACAUAAAAUUAGUUAAUACAUUAUUUCAAAUACAUUAAAACUUAAUAAUAUUUUUCUAAUUUUAUAAUGCAAAACCAUUUAUGCUAAAUGAUUUGUUUGAUUAAUGUUCCAUGUAUAUAUGAUUUAUUUAAUAAAUACCAUAUCUAUUUAUUAACUUUUUAUUAAAUUAUUUCUAUAAAUUAUAAUAUAGUAAACAAUUUAAAAACGAAUUCUUUUUAAUUAACCUUAAUAUAUAUAUAUAUAUAUAUAUAUAUAUAUAUAUAUAUAUAUAUAUAUAUAUAUAAAUAAAUAAAAGAUCUGGCUCUAUUGAAUAGAUUAAACAGGACUCUAGAAUUGUUGUAUAUAUGUUAAUAAAAUUGUUCUGUACAAAGAAAUUAUUUAAUAAUAUUUAAUAAAUUGAUAAAAUGAAUAUAUUUAGUAAAUUUAAUUAAUUAUUUAUUAAAUACUUUUUUACAAUAUUAUUACAAAAAUGUAACACUAAUUAAUAUAUGUACCAAAAUAGUUAUCUUUUUUUAAAUUUUCUUAAUUUUGUAUUCUUUAAAAUUACAAUUUAUGAAUUAUCUAUAAUAAAUCUAAGAUAUAGUUCAUAUAUAAAAAUAUGUAUUCACUAUAAAACUGAAUAUAAUUUACAUACUAAAAAACUAUUUAUUUAUCAUUAAAAAUAAUUAUAUAAAAUAAAUAUUUAUUCAAUAUAUUUUUUAUUUUUUAAAUGUUAUCAUUCUCUAAAUGAAUACAGGUUACUUAUCCAAUAUUUUUAAUCCUUUUGAUUGUUGAUUUUUUAAAUAAAUUUUAGUUUCAAAGUUAAUUUUUAAUAACUACUUUGUCUUUAAUUCAAUUAAUACACCUUAUUAUUGCAGUGGAUUUUUAAUUUAAUUUACUUAUUUUUAAAUAUUGCUUUAUGAAAACGUUUCUAUAAUUAAAUAUUUGUCUUACUUAAAAUAAAUGCGUAUGGGCUUGGUGGAAGGGCAUUUAUGAGAAAGUGAAAAAAGAUGUAUAGAAAUUCACUAUACGGUAACUAUACGGUAAGGGUAACGUACAUUGAAGAGAAACGCAUGUCUACGCUUCUGCGUGGCACUUCACGUCAACUGUGGUUUUGGAUUUUCUUCUCUCUCCAUUUCGCUUUCUCUCUCUAUAUAUUUGCUCUCUCUUGUUCCUUUGUUUUCUCUGCCUAUGAACCUCUUUUCUCCUUCUCUUACAAACUCUGACUUUCAGCUUCAGCUUCUGUUUUUCUUUCACUAUUUUUUUCUGCUUCACAUUUUGCAAUUUUUAGACAGAAGCAGAGAAGAGUUCGCACAACAUUGUUAGGUCAGUGCAUUUCCGCAGGCUUCCUUUUAGAUCCUCUGUCCUCUUGUUCACGUUUAGAUUACUGUAUUUCUAGAUUUAUUUAUUUUUAUUAUUUUGAAUCUGUGUUUAUGGAAUUUUAGAUUAUGUUUGUUGAUGUUGGUUGGUACACAGUGUGAUAAAUUUUUAGAGAUUAUGUUUGCUUCUUAAUUUAUUGUUUUUCUCAAUUGUUUAGAUGGUUUCAUUGUGUGUUUCUGUUACUGUUGCUGAGAUAUUGUGAUGCUAUGAGAAAGAUGAUAGUGUUGUGUUUAUGAUUAAUCUAGUUUAAGUAGGUGACUGAAUUUUUGAAAUUUUUCUUACACUAAUUUGUAUUUUACAGUCUCUGGAUUGGUGCAGAGAAUUUGUUUUUUGCAGUCAGGGAAAACAGGCGGGGAAGAGGAUGGAUUUAUUUUAUUAACUUUAAUUUUAUACUGCACGUGUUUUAUUUGUUGAAUUUAGAUUCCACUUUAUUUGUUCAGCAGACUUUUUGGUCCUCUGAUGGCAAGUGAUUCUUUUGUGAUUUCCAAUGGCAAUGGCAAUGGCAAUGAAAGUGGCAAUGGCAAUGGCAAGUCAGAGCCUCUUCCACAGAGGACUUACCAAGCAGUAGUGAUUGCCACCAGAGACAUGGGCAUUUCUAAGGAUGGAAAAUUGCCCUGGACGUUACCCACUGAUCUCAAAUUUUUUGAUGAGAUCACUACUAUAACGUCUGAUCCGGGGAAGAAGAAUGCUGUUGUGAUGGGUAGAAAAACAUGGGAGAGUAUCCCUCCUGAGGAUAGGCCUCUUCCUGGUCGCCUUAACGUUGUUCUGACUCGCUCGGGUAGCUUUGAUAUUGCAACUGCAGAGAAUGUUGUAAUAUGUGGAAGUGUGUCUUCUGCUAUGGAACUGUUGGCUGCUUCUCCGUACUGCCUGUCAAUUGAGAAAGUAUUUCUUACAGGAGGUGGUGAGAUAUUCAGGUAUAUUUAUAUUGUAGUUACCUUCCUGCUUCUUCCUUUUGUAAUCAUAUUAAGUUUUCUUUUUUAACGGUGAUAAUUGUUAUGUACAGAGAGGCUCUCAAUGCACCUGGAUGCGAAGCUGCUCAUAUUACAGAAAUUGAGGCAAGCAUUGAGUGUGAUACUUUUAUGCCUCGAGUUGAUACCUCUCUAUUUCAGUCAUGGUAUUCAUCAUUUCCUUUGGUGGAAGACAACCUCCGCUAUUCUUUCAACACUUAUGUGCGUGUAAGGAGUUCUCCGGCUGAGUCCCUAAGUCAGAAUGCUGAUCCAGUUUUUGAUAAUGGUUCAGACUCUUUAAAAUUUGAGGUCAAUGAAUUUUCUUUUCUUCCGAAAUUCAUUUAUGAGAGACAUGAAGAAUUUAAGUAUCUAAGUUUGGUUCGAGAAAUUAUUUCUGAAGGCACAAUUAAGGAUGAUAGGACAGGGACUGGUACCUUGUCGAAAUUUGGCUGCCAGGUAACACCUCGACUGCUCUGUUCAGCAGUUUCAAUGAUUUAUAUGAAUGCUUACACUUCUCUAUAAUUCCACAGAUGAGGUUUAAUCUGCGCAGAAACUUUCCGCUUCUAACAACCAAGGUAUGUAUGAAUUUGUAUAAACUACUGCAUAUUAAUUUCUUAUUUUUUUGUUUCGUUUCCUUAUGUUAUUUUGAUGUAAUUGUUUGUUUUGUCACUUUUAAUGUUUAUGAAGACUGAGGAAGAAUAUAUAUUGUACUUCAUGAUAUAAAAGUUGACUUGAUUUCUUAAUUUGGUUCCUAGAAAGUAUUUUGGCGAGGGGUUGUUGAGGAGCUUCUUUGGUUCAUCAGCGGCUCAACAAGUGCCAAGGUAAUGAUAUUUUACCAAUCUUUUCCGCACAGACGUGCAUACAUGCCCUUUUCUAGUUAUGUUAUUGUUCACGAAGUCGCUAGCACGAACCAAAUAUUGGGGAACUAGAUUGGUUUACUUGAUACUAUUUUAGCUUGGUAAAGAAUGGGGAUAGACACAUGGAAAGCUUUGGAGUCUCCUACCCAACUCAUUAUUCCCCCUUUUUUUUUUCUUUUCAGAUUUUUAAUCGACUUAUACAUUGUUGUGUUGUGAGUCAAAAUGAUAUAACAUGUUUGAAUCCUUAUUAAUCUGUACACUGAUGACUAAGAUAUCAAUACCUUUUAUGUUCGACGAUUUAUUAGUGACUAAACGUCGUGAUAAAGCCGGGCUUUCGAGAAUUUGUAGGCUGGCUUUACAUUAGUUGCCUCUAAUUUUAAUAAUAAAUGCCUAUGUUCAUGAAAUUGGGGGCUUUACAUUAGUUGACUCUAAUUUUGAUAAUAAAUCCGUAUGUCCAUAAAAUUGGCAUUAUUGUGAAUUUGGAAGUGAGUUUAAGGGGUAAUUAAUCUUUACAAAAUGGGUUUAUAAAGUGAGAAAUGUCUCUAUUUGUAUUUUGUAAAUUGAUCAUAUACUCAAGUUUUUUUUUAAAUCUAUUUGCAAUGGUUAAAAUAUUAUCAUAAAACGGUUUCGUGAUGACAUGACUAGCACCUGGAUGUUGCAUUAUUAAUAUUGAUUAAUUUUACCAAAACACAUGCCUCAAUAAUAUAGCUUAAUAGCUUCCUGUUAACAAUUUUUAGUUAUUUUUCCAAACAUAGUAGAGUAUAAAAAGCUGCUGAACCAAAAUUCAAUUAAAUCACUGUGUUGCGUAAAGGCAUAUUAGUGGUUUACAAGAAUAACUCGCUGGUUCAUUAGAUACGACCAGAGUGAAUUUUAUUCUGAAAUCAUUUUGUAUUGACAGGUGCUGCAAGAAAAAGGCAUUCAUGUCUGGGAUGACAAUGCAUCUAGAGAAUACCUUGAUAGGCAAGCAUGACCUACUAAUUUUUGUACGAACUACAAUUUUUUCUUCUCCGUGCAUUUGUUAACUGGAUUUACAAUUUAUAUACAGCAUUGGUUUGAGAGAAAGGGAGGAGGGUGACUUAGGACCUGUUUAUGGGUUUCAGUGGAGGCACUUUGGAGCCAAGUAGGUGGAUGUACCUUAGUUUUAUGUCAUUAGGAUCAUUUUGUGGCCUUGCUUAGUUCCUUAUUAGUUUUCCAUCUUACAUUUUACAGGUAUACUGACAUGCAUGCUGACUACUCUGGCCAAGGAUUUGAUCAGCUUCUGGAUGUUAUUGACAAGAUAAAGCAUAACCCUGAUGAUCGACGGAUCAUUCUUUCAGCUUGGAAUCCAUCUGAUCUUAAAUUGAUGGCACUUCCCCCCUGCCACAUUUUUGCGCAGGUCUGCAGCUAUAUUUGGGUUUAUCUUGGAAUAACUAUUUCUUUCUCUCGUUCUCCUUUCAUGAAGUUUUGUCAACAAAAAAAUUUCUGCAGUUUUACGUAGCAAAUGGGGAAUUAUCGUGUCAAAUGUAUCAGCGAUCUGCGGACAUGGGCCUGGGGGUGCCAUUUAAUAUUGCAUCUUAUGCUCUCCUGACAUGCAUGAUUGCUCAUGUUUGUGGUAAGCAAAUCAUUUCAGUGUUAUAGACUUAAAUUUGUUCUCAGACGUACAUGGCAUCUUAAUUCCUUUUCAUGAUACAGAUUCGUCAUUAUUUGAUUUUAAAUGAUUUUAAGCUGAUUAAUGGGUUAUGAUUCACAAAGGUUUUAUAUAAUUAUGAUUAGCAUACUUUUUGUAUGGAAUGGCAAAAUAGUCCUUUUGGAUGCCAAUAAUCAGAUUCUCUGAAAAAUUAGAAUGCUCUUAAAAAGAAAGAUAUAGGUUUGGGUGUGUUCUGUUUCACCGUUUAAAGUUUGGGUGUGGCUCAGAUAUAUUUGGGUUGUAAUCUUACGUAGAGAAAUACAGCAUUUAUAUUAAAAUAAAAUUGACAUCAGAUAUCGGACUGAUCUAACCAUAUCAUAUCCUGUUCUUGUCAGACCUUGUUCCGGGUGAUUUUAGUCAUGUUAUCGGGGAUGCACAUGUUUACCGCAAUCAUGUGAGACCUCUUCAGGAACAGCUUCAGAAUCAACCAAAACCUUUUCCGGUAGGUGUAAAUGGUAGAAAAACAUUUUCUUAACGUAGAUGCCCACAAAAUAUUAACAAUUAUGCAUUCUUAUAAACUGCCGUUUCCUUGUUGAUUGCCUAUACCUCAAUUCAGAUUUUGAAGAUAAACCCAAAGAAGAAAGAUAUAGAUUCCUUUGUUGCUGCCGAUUUCAAGCUCAUAGGAUAUGACCCUCACAAGAAGAUAGAAAUGAAGAUGGCUGUUUAGGGAUCUUGUACGAUUCUCAAACCCUGCUUCUAUGCUUUCUGAAAUGGGGCAAUAUAUAUAUAUAUAUAUAUAUAUAUAUAUAUAUAUAUAUAUAUAUAUAUAUAUAUAGAUAUAGAUAGAUAGAUAGAUAGAUAGAUAGAUAGAUAGAUUAUAUUUGCUUGAUUUUAUUUAUGUAAGGAAUUUUUAAAUUAUCUGGUUGACAUUUGCACCUGUGGCAAACAGAAAAAACUGCUGAUUAGGAUUCAUAUUCAGUAAAUUCUGCUCUUCCAAAAAACGAAAAUUGAAGUAAAAUUGGCUUUUCAAAAUUUUGUAUUACACGACAUAAAAAUUUUGAAAACAAACUUCACUGGUAAUUUUCUGAAUUUAAAGGCGCACACUGAAAAUACGUUAUUAAUUUAUUUUUCUCAAAUUUACAGAGAAUGCAUAGGUAGUGCUGUACAUUUUUUUUAAAGCAUAGUCACUGGAUAUGUGUUCCAUAUUUUGGUCAUCAAACUAAAACAUGGUAUUUUUCAUUGUUUCAGGUAUAACCAUAAGACCUAUAUAUUAAAUUUAUGGACAAAUAAAAGAAUAUCGCUGGAUAUACUUUAAGCUUUGCUUGUUACUACUGGGAAUCCUUUAGGUCCACGUGUCUCGUGGCUCUAAGGUGAUUUAGGUUAAGGGUUUUUUUCAUUUCUUUUCCAUUGUCCUGCUAUACUUUUGACUUUUGAGGUAUUUUUAAUAUGUAUUGUGUUGGCCAUUUUAUUAUGAUUCUUUAUCUCCUCCGGCCACAGUAAAAAUGAGCAAAGGAUGGAUUCAAAAAAUACAUAUAUGUAUCAAAACUCAAAGCUGCUUAAAAGAUGUUAAUUAUUUAUAUCUUACCAGCUUUUCUGAAUUUUCCAUGGAUGUCUGGGUGCUGCAGCUCUUUUCUUUAUGUAAAUAUUAGAGACUCCACAGUCCACCCGUUUUGGAUCUUCGGUGAAUCAAAUGCUAAAUUGGCGUAAGAUUAGAGAUAAUAAAUAAGAGCAAAGAUAUUUACCAUAAAAUGUUAGAAGUGAUGUGACCUAAAAUAAAUUAAGAUUAAAAUUUAAAGAAACAUCAAACAUAUCUUGGUAAGUAUUUCUUAUUCUUUUGUUUUAAAGUUGAGUUGACUUAAUUUUUAGUGUGGUUGAAAUGUGUGCAUUAUAGGUUUUAGAUGCGUAAAAGUUUGACUUGUGUAAAAUCAAACAGGUUGAUCUGUUUUGUUAAUCAUGGAUUGUAAGAUUAUGCAAUUAGUAAAUAAAGCCUUUGCAAGAAAUUACAGUGAAUAUUUUUAACUAACGUUAGUAUUUAUUAAUACAAAUUGAUAUUUAUAUAUUAAAAAAUUUACAUUGAAUCAUUACUAAGUUUAUUUCUAUAAAAUUGUAUUUAAAUUAGAUACUUUUUAAAUAUAUAAAUUAUGACAAACUAGAGUCGACCUUGACGAAUUAGAGUAGUUCAUUAGUUUAUAUGUUCUAUUACAUGAUAAUGGACAAUAUAUUUCAACAAUUCCUUUAGGUUAUAAUCGGCUUUUUUACGAGUCAUCCAAAAUAUACAAACAAAAAUAUGAACCUUGGGAAACAAGGUGGUGACGUGCAUGGCGGCAGCAGCAGCACCGCUUAUGGCGGUUACGCAGAUGGUCAGAUCAGAGUAGAAAGUGGAAGAAGAAUUUUUAUAAUUAUGUACUAUCGUGCUUUAAGAAAAAUAUAAGCAUUAAAUAUCUUAAAAUAAAGAAAUAUGUUGAAGUGAAAUUUACUUCGUUAGUAAAGUUUAUUUUUUUUCUUUUCAUGAAUAAAAGGACGGAAAACAAAAUUAUCUCUCUUCAGUGUCACACUAAAGAAAUUCUUUAAAUAAACUGGAUGGGUUUAAUCCUUAGAACACUAUGUUUAUCUAUAGUUUCUCCUUUAUUUUUUGUCGUUUCUUUAUACAAAUUAUAGUUAUAAGUCUAAUUGCACCAAGUGUUUGUUAUGAUGUUCAUUUCACUUGACUCAAAUCAUUCAACGGUGAGAGGUACUUUUAUCUGCAAUUCGUGAUUUCGUUUCUUCUCAAGAAGGAGGUCCAUCAGGCUGUUGAGUGCAAUAUCUGGGUCUUCGUCCAGCAAAAACUGCUCCCCUACCUCUGCAGGAGUGACAUCGAUCAUCCCAAGCAAGUUCUCAAUUUGAACAAAAAGAGGGUGCUCCGUGAUCCCAAGGUAAUUGGAAGCCAGCAUUUUGAACCCACCAGGGGUACAGUAAGUCAUGUCAAUGUGCACAUCCAUACGCCCAGGGCGCAAGAGAGCAGGAUCCAAUUUCUUCUUAUGAUUCGUGGUGAACACUACGAUUCUCUCAUUCCCACAACUCGACCACAACCCAUCUAUGAAAUUCAGGAACCCCGAUAAUGUCACCUGCAACUGAAAACAGUACGCGAGAUUCAAAGCCAUUUCUUGAUGCUUGAAAGAAAGAGUAUCUGAAACUAAGAAAAGGAUGUGAUUGUGUUGUAUUAUACCUGGGGUGCUGGAAAUGAGUGAAAAUGGCGUGGGAUGAAGCGGUGGGGUUGUGAUGAUUUAGGUUUUGCAAGCCUAUCCUGCAAAUGAAGGGAGCAAUCAAUGUCCUCCACGACAAGAAUGGAACGGUUCCUGGUGGCAAUCAACAACCUCCUAAGGUCAGAAUUUCCAUUAACAGCAGUGAGUUCUAAGUCAUAGACAUCGAAAUUCAGAUAAUUAGCCAUAGCAGCAAUCAAACUCGAUUUCCCAGUUCCGGGGGGACCCGAAAGCAAGUACCCUCUCUUCCACGCCUUUCCAACACUCUUAUAUAAACCCUUCCUCUCCACAAACCUAUCUAAAUCCCUAAUUAUCAUCUCCUUCAAUUCCCAAUCCAUCGCCACAGUCGCAAACGUCGCAGGGUGCUCAAGAUUCACGCCCUGCCACAACUUCCCCCUCCCUCCCCUCCGAAACCGCGUGUCCUUCACCGUGAAGAGCCUCAGCGUCUUCCUCCGCUCAUGCACCGCCUCCGCCUCCUUCAUCACGCGCGGAAAAUACUCCGACAGAACCAUCUCCCGGUGCUUCUUGUGGAACCGCACCUCGAAGACGUGCACCGCGGAAUUCGAUUUGCCGCGUCGGGACACGAGCCUCCACCGGAACGGCACGCCGUUGAAGGAGUCCGUGAUCUCGUCGUUGCCGUCCAUGAGGAGGGACACGUGGCGCGAUCUCGAAGACAUCGUGGCGCGGAAGCGCUUCGUGUUCGGCGCCUCCUGCGGCUUGAGGUAGAGCUGCGCCGCGGCGAAGAGCGGGUUCGGAGUGAGCCCGUUGAAUUCGUCGAUAACGAGGGUGAGUUCCGUGGAGAAGGAGGAGAGGAGUUUCGAUAGUUUUGAGUGGAGGUAGUUUUGGAACUCCGGGGGAAUGUAGUUGCGGGUGAACGAGCGCAGGAGCAUCACGGUGGCCGCCACGGACGCCGCCGUGGAGACUACCUUUUGAAAUUUGGGAGUCAUCAUUGGGCCCUGAUUGGGCUGGAAUUUGACGGGCUGCUGUAAUAAUCGCUACGAACAGAAAGAAAAAGAAAACUGAUUAAUAUUAUUGUGAUGACGGGAAUCUAGGUUUUAUUAUUGAAAUCUGAAACUAUCAACUGAUGCAAUUUAUGAUCAUUGAUUUGAAUUUGAGAGUUCAGUUGUUUUCAGUAUUGUUGUUCUCUCGUUGCAUUUUUCUCAUUGACCUUGACUUUGACUAACAGGUCUUAUUUCUUCCACUGCAGGAAACUUCUUUGGAGUUUCACUGCAUUUACCACCUCAAUUCCUCAAAUACCCUUAACUCGGAGUGUAAGGUACGCUUACGCCGUGAUUGACAAAACAAAUUACGAAAAUUGUUGACGUCAGAGUGAUAUCAGAAACUUAAUAACAGAGAAGAAAGGAAAAUAAUAUAGAUUUUGCCAUUUGUUGAAUGGAGAUCUAUUACUAUAAAAAACAUUUAAUAUAAAGUAUUUAAAAUCUAACAAGUAUAAAUUAAUUUAAACUAUAACUAAUUUAAUUACAUUUAACCAAACAAUAUUGAUUGGUUUAAAAAUACUUUCACAAAUGAUGUGAAUACAUCCUUUGAUUUAGACAUGCAAACCAUUCACAUAAAACUAACUCAUGGAAAAUGGUAUAGAUCAACGUAUUUUUAAUUUAAUGUUUGAUUAAAAAUAAUUUAUAAUCAUCCAAAUAUAACAAUAAAAUCAUAUUAUAAAGGAGACGAUAUUUAAAAAGGUAGAUAUAAAAAAAGAAAAUAUAUAAAGUGAAAACUUAGAGAGGGAAAAAAAUCACAUCAUGCAAAGAGAGAAAAAAAAAGUUUUACAUAUCAAAUCUAAAAUAUUGAGAAGUUAUUAUAUGUCCUAAUUAAAAUAAUUAAUUCUUCUAUUACAUAUUUGUAAAUUGAACUUUAUCAUCGUCAAUGCAUGAAUUAGGCUUAGAGAUAAGAAACACUUGCAUUGUUUUUACUUAAUAACACAUUAGAUAUGGUAUUGUUAAUUGGGGUCACACCAAUUAAAAAAGUGACUAAGGAACCAACAAAAUAUCUCACACUUGUGUUCUUAAGGAAUCAGUGAAAGUGAAAGCAAAGCAUUAUCAGAUAUCACAUUGAAAACUAUACAGUACUAUAUACCAUUUUUUUUUCUAGUUCUUUCUAUCACUUCGCUAUUUUAUUUCAUUUUUAUCUCUCUUAUUUGUAUAUUAUAUUUCAUGUUUUAUUUUUGCAAUUUUUUGCAUAUUAUAUGCAUGCAGAAUUAAAUAAAUGCAAGACAUAAUGCAAAAGCAGAAUAUCUAGUAGACGAUGGUGAUUGCCAUGUUGAGCUUCUGCAUGAGUGAUUCUCCCAAUAGGUAGUAAUUAUAUUCGAUACUCAAACUCUUUUUCUUUUUUUCUUCUUUCAUUAUAUUUUUAUUAAAAUAUAUUUUUGACUGGCAACACACUAUUUUUUAAUUUCUAAUUUUUUUGUUCAAAGUUCUUUUUUACCUAAAACGAUAAAUGCAGGCCUGGAUAGCAGUUUUAAAAAAAUAUUAUUAGGUACUAAAUAUAAGUGUUUUUUGAAAAAUAACAUUCUUUUUAUUAUUAUUCUUAAGAGAGAGUAAUGAAUAACGAGAAGACUAUUAGAAUUGAAUAAAAAAAAAACUUUUAUCUUUCUACGUUUCAAUUUUUAAAGAAAUUUAUGCAUUCUAGAUUCCAAAAGUCACAUGCUAUUUUAUUUAAAUAUAAAUUAUAUUUCUUUUCCGUCAAUUUUAAAUUUAUUUCUUCCCGCAGUUAAUUGCAGGUGUCUAAAAAAUAUUUAUUCUUGUAAAAUCUAGUUUCAUUUUUCAUUACAAACCAGUCAAUAGAACUUCUUUCAUGUAACACAACCCUGUAAACACAUAUACUGCACAAAAUUUACGGACAUAAACGAGAAAUAAAUUUUUGACACAUCUAAAUAUUUUAUAUUUAUUUAACAUUACUUUUACUUACUUUUUACUUUUUUCUUUUCAAAAAAAAUUACAAAACUUUAUAUUUUUUAAACCAUUUUAUCCUUAUACUAUGUAUCAAAUAAAUAUAAAAGUGUGUGAUAGUAUUAUUUCUCCACACAAAUAUAUUCUGAAAAUCUUAAAAACAUAUUAAGAGUCGAAACCAAACCUGAGAAUAGCAUCUGUUAUCAUCAUGUCUUGUCUCUCCGGGGAAGUUCCCUCAUCUCCACACUAUUCUCACAUCUCAAGAAUCAGAAUACCUCAUUCACAUCAAUUCUUCUCACUUUUUCUUAUUUAUCUUAAUAUUUCAUCAAAAAUAAUAAUUCAUGAACAUUAAAAAAAGACAAUGAUAUUUUGAUAACUUUUUUUACAAACGGAACACGUGUCAUCAUUUUAUUGGUCUAUUUGAAUUUAUGUUUAAAAAAUAUUUAAAACGGACCAACCACAAACUGUUGUCAAAAAGUUGUUAAAAAGUAUUGUUAAAAAAAGUUUUUCUUUAAAAAAAUUUAUCAAUACUUAAUGCUUCUCAGAGAUAAAAUAAAAACAAUAAAUUUAUUAAUAUGAUAUGAAAAAUAAAAUAUAAACAAAAUCAACUUAUUCAUGAAUAUUUUUUUAAGCCAUGCAUUACAACAAUUACUAACACCAUUUUACACUUUAUCUCACAAAUAAUGAUUAAUAUUAUUGUAAAAUGAAUCUCUCUUUCUACGUAAUUUAUUCAAAUUCCCAUCAUUUAUAAAAGUUAUUAUUUAUUACUUUAUUUACACACUUUUUAAAAUAUACAUAUAUAAUUUUUAUUUUUUUUUACAUUAAGUAAUGAUCUUCUUCUCUUCGAAUCCUCUGUUCCCUGGCAAUGAAAGCCUCCACAGUGCGACGAAAUUCCUCGUUGGUCAUUCCAUCUUCAGGGCAAGAAAUUCGCGCCACUUCUUCAACAGGAACACCUUCAAUCUUCUUCCUUUCCUUCUCAGUCUCACAUCUACGCAACACACGGCGUCGUUUCUGCCUCAAAAUCUCUGUCUCGCACCUUCUAUAACCUUUUUCCAAACUGAUAUUUUUUUCCCCUGUUUUCAUCCUCUGUUUCUUUCUGCUAUACUCUGCCACAGCUUCUUGGUUUUUUGUUGUGUUUUGAAUAAACUCUUGGUACAGAUUGGGCUCCGGAACAACGUUGUUACCCUGAGCGGAGAACUGCGCGAAGAGUGCGAUGAUUAUGAUGUUUCCGACGAGGAAGACAAAGCGAGGACUGUUCAUGAAGAGUGACAAGUCUCUGAAAUACUCGCCGGAGUUUCUCACUGCAACCGGAAGCUGCAUGGAGAACCUUGAAACCAAGACCAAAACCGCACACACUUCGAUGAUUCGGAACAAGCUUGCGACCCUUCGAAGCUUGCGGUGUUUGAGGAUGGCGUUGGCUUUCUCUGUUUGAAGGUUAUUGAAACUGAAGGAGUCCAUUGCUUGAAGGGUUGAUGCAGAAAGAAACAACAACUCGUGUUAUGUGUUUCACUGAAAGGGGAAUAGAAAUUUGUCUACGGCAAUAGAAUAUGUAAGAAAUGAUGUUGCAGAGAACAGUGAAUAAGCUUCUACAGUUGGAAGCAUGGAUACAGAAACAAAAGCCAAGUGAAUGUAAUGUGAACUGUAAAAUGUGAACAGAGAGAACAGAGUGCUUCUGUUUGGUGCUAUGAAGCUAUGAAGUUGUGCUAUUCCAUCUUUAUAGACCAGAAUCCAAACUUUUAAGAAAAUAAUAAAAUAAAAAUAUCUCAAUAUUCCAUUAUCUACUUUUUUUUAUCCCUUCCCUGUGUAUGUAUCAAAUUAUCUUUACCUUUUUUUCUUCCUCACUUCAUGUAAAAUUUAUGAUUCAUAUGAAGGUAUUUUUUUAAAAAAAUAGUCUAAUCUUCCUUCCAUAUCCCAUGCGAAGAAGAAGUCGUCUAUCUUUUAGAUGACUUCAGCUCAGUCAUAUGAAAAGUUGAAGUCCAACAUUUCUCGACUUCAUAUUAAAUUGUUAUUAAUUAUAAAAAAUGGUAAUUGAUUAUUUAAUUAGUGUUUCGGUUGCGACGUGGAGUUACUCUAAACACCUUCACAAUCUGUUUUUCAAUAUUGUCUGGUCUCUUUUUUUGGACUCUUUCGUUCUUUCCUCUCGUGUUCAGAGGUGUACCUAUCAAAGAUUUUGCAAUGCUUAAGCCAGUGUGUAGUUCGUUAAUAUGAAAUCAAUAAUAAAUAUGUAAUAUAUGUGAACCACCUACCUCUUAUCUAUGACCUGUAUUUAUAGUUUUCGCAAUGGAUUUAAGAUUAGCGAAAUCUUAAUCACGGCCUAAUACUGGUCCAAUGACUUUUAAUCAUAUCUUAUCUUAAAUCUUACGUACACAUGAUUAUUGGUUCUGACCGACCAUUCAUCUUAGACCGUCCGGUCAGGUGUUUUUACAAGGUGGUUCUAUGGUUAUAUUGGAACGUUUCUGAGUUUAGCACGAGAUGAAGUGCACAAAUUAAAAUGAUCACGUAGUCGUCCGGUCCAUCUGGUAUAAACGGUGUUAAAGAUAAAAUCGUCUAUUUUACACUAUUUCAUUGUCGAAUUUAUUUAUUCUCAGACAACUUCAUCUAACUUUAAUAAUUCAUAAUAAUUAAUUAUCGAUUAAUGUAAUCGAUUAUAAUUUGUUAAAAUCUGUCUAUUCUAAUAUUCUCAUGAUAUAAAAAAGCAUAUUUGUAAAAAAACAAAACUUCGUAUCUAGGUUAGAAUUAUUUUAAAUAGCUUACUUUUUUACCAAAAUUUUAAAUAACAGUGACAUGCUGUGGUUUUACUGAUGAAUUAAAGAUGAAGUCGUAUUAUAUACUUUUUUUGGUUAACAGUGAUGAAUAAUCCGAACAAAUUGAACAGAACUUGAAUGUGUAGAAAUGUAGUUUUAGAUUUGUUUUCAGAAUUUAAAUUGUGGGUCAUUGUUCUAAGAAAUUACUACGAGAUAUAAAUAAGAAAUAUUUUAAAUAUAUAACUAUGCACAAAUCUCAUUUUAAAUCCAAAUUUAUAAUUUUAAAUUAAGUUUAAAAUCAAUUUCUUAAAAAUCAACAUAUGAGUCAAAUAAUUAUUUACAUAAAAAAAAGCAUCGUCAUCUAUUCUCUUUGUAUGCAUUAUACUCUGAAUUAUUUGUGGAACUUGGAAUAUUCUUCUUUCUGAAAUGUCUUUGGACUGAGAGGAAUAACUUGAGGUUGAUAUUGAUAGCUUUCAGUUCCAUUGUUAUGAGGGGUGACAAUUGGCAAUAUUUAAAUAAAGUGCCGUAUAAUUCAAUCUAAACUCGAAAAAAAAAAAGUGAAAGAAAAUAAUAAAGAGUAUAAUUUUUUAUUAUGAAAUAUUAUAAACAAUUUUAUCUAACUCAAUACAAAUAAUUUAUUUAUGACUUAGAGAUAAAACCAAAAGACUGCAAUAUUUUAUUUCUGUUUACUGUCAAUCAUGUCAACAUAAAUUUUAGUACAUUUAUCUAUAUAGAUUAUAAGUGAUUAUAGAAGAUACAAUAUAGGUCUGAAAUUAACGAACAAAAAACUAUAGAGUUCCGUUAAACUUCUGUCCGACACUUUUUUUACAAUUUUUUCAGGCGUUCGGUCACUUCUCGCUCUUACAGUCAACAACUUUCACUCCCAUGUAGAACACACUCUUAUCCAAGCUGGUUGGAUACAUGUUAAAAGUAAUCCGACGUUCAAGUCAGUAUGAGUAAAAGGUAGAGAUAGAAAGAAAAAAUAUCUAGAGAGAAUAACCAACUACCUUUCACCCUUGAUUCAUAUUUAUAGUUUCUGUUAUGGGCUUAAAAUUAACUUCUUUCUAAUUACGGUCCAAUCUCUGACCCAUCUUCUUUAAUCGUGUUUUACCUUUUAAUCCAUUUUUAAUGUCUCCUGUCAACUUACACUUGGCUCCGUCCGUCUCAAGCGGUCAGUUGUCACGAAAGAUCAGGUCCUUCGUGACGGGAAUAUAUGUUAGGACAUUCGUCUAUGCAGAAACUUUUCAAAGCUGAGGACGUCCGUCACCUUCUAGGUAAAGUGGUAGCGGAGUGAGAACCGCUUGUAUAGUUCGUUUAAGGCUUAUUGAAGAACCUGUCGUCCGCGAGGAAGGACAUAUCCGAAUGUUUUAUGUGGACCCGGACCAUAUGGUACAUAUAGGAUCUAAAACAAUAUAAUAGAUUAUAUUUAACUCUAUUUUAAUUAUGCAAAUAUAAAGUUUAGAUUAAAUAAAAAAAUAAAUAAAAUCAGUAGAAAAAUCAUAAACUUAAUAUUUUGCUGUUUUAAAUGAAACAUAGUACGAAAUUGAUUUAUGAUGUUUGUUUAAUCCAUUGUUUCCUGUAUUUUCCAAAGAGGGACUACUCUAUGAAAAGACAGAAAAAGAAGAUUUUGAUGCGAAGCAAACACGGCUUCUACAUGUCUUACCCCUUUUGGUAUUUUUUUGGAAUCUAGUGCAAUUUUUUUUUUAAAUUAUUAAAAUAGGCACAUUUUUUAAUCACUACAAAUAGAUAAAUCAUAUUAAUUCCACAAAACUCAUCUAUUGUUAAUUAAUUGCAAAUUUAGGCAGAUAAGUGAAGGUAUUUUAUUUAAGUGAUUGUUAACCAACGGGUAUUCAUAUCCAUUAUCCAUCAUUAAUAUUAAAAUGCUUAAAUGUAUUGGUAAUUUACAUUUUAUAUAAAAUUUUAAAAUAUUGUUUUUAAUGUUAAAUUCUAAUUUUAACAAUUAAUUAAUGAUAACUUUUAUGUAGACAUGUGAUUAAAAUGAAAUUGGCAAUAAUAAAUAGCGAAAUGGGUUUAAAAUUUGGAGCAAAAUUGAUGUGACAGGAAUGUUUGAAAAUGAAUAAGUAGUUUUGUUAUGAUAUUUUUGAGUUAUGUUGUGGAUAUGGUUCCAGAUUCUGCAUUAUUGAAAUCAGGUCCUUCCCACGGAAUCAAUGAAACCUUGGGUAGCACUAUACACACGGGUGUUCCCUUCAACCAUCACUUCUCUCUGUUCUUGCUUAUGCUACCAAACUUCUCUCAAGUAUCUCACAGAGGAUCAAGCAUAAUGCUUCUCAAUAUAAAACAACACAUCAAAAGUCGUUACCAAGUAAAUGUUCUAAUUUUAUGUUUCUUCACUGAUACAACUAAAUGUAGGUACCAAAAGCAAAAGGGAGUUACUCCCUGUACCUCCCCAAUUCCAACUCCCACCCCCCAAUUUUUUUGGAUUUUUUUUAAAUACAAAAUUAAUCUUUAUGUUUUUUUUUAUUUUUACCGUUUUACACCUAUUUACUAAAGUUAACCUACUCUUUUACAGUCUGCCUCAGUCAAAACACACAGACUCAAAUUCCUCUCCUUCGUAUUCCCACCCCCACUCCCACCAAAGCUUUUUGAAACGCUCCUCCUCCAAACGCUCUCUGCAACUCUCACUCUCCCAUUUAUACGUUAAAAAUAUAUUUAAAAAUAAUACAUCAAAACAUAUAAAUUCCAUUAUUAAAAUAUCUGAAAAUUAAUAUAAAAAGUAAACUAAUAAAACAAAUCUUAAAAAUGGAAUGGGGGGGUGGGGGUUAGAAUUGGGGAGGUACAGGGAGUAACCCCCAAAGCAAAAUCUUAGGUUUAAAAUGGGCCUGUUGGGCCGCAAGCCCGGGAUAAAUAGGAAAUCAUGUCUCUCUUAAAUACCUAGGGUUUUCGGUGGCUUUAUCUUUCGUCUCUGGCUGAAAGAAACAGUGAAAACAUUUUUUUUUACCUCUCACAAGUUGCAGCUAAGAUCCUGGUGUGAUUUAUUUUUCUUCUCUGCAAAAUCUCUGAAAUCAUUAUCCCUUUCGUUUCCCAAUCCAUGUGAUUUGUGAUUGAAUUUAUUGGUCAUGGGUUGCAGACUCCGAAGAAGGAUAAGGCUCCUCCACCUUCCUCCGAGCCCGAAAAAUUUGACGGUGGCAAGCAACCUUCCGUUCUCUCUAAGCGUAUGAAGGUAUGGUUUUCUUCUAUUGUUCUGUUAAUUUGAUUUCGGUAGUUCUUUUGUAGAUACGUUAAUUUCUCAGAGAGAUCGUAUCUGUUGGUGUUGUUUUGAUGCGCAUUCAUUCUCAUGAGUCAAUGUGGGCUUUCUGCAUGUUUCAUCUGAUCGAGUGUUAUUUUGUCGUAUCAUGAUUAUUCAUUACCCAUGACAUAUAAGAGAGUUAAUUGCCCUAAUAGGCUCUAACUCCCUAUUAAGCUCUUAAUUGCCCUGAUAAAUAAGAGAGUUAAACGUCAACCUAACUCUUUCUUAUAUAUUAUUGUAAUAUGGGAAUUGUACAUUAUUUAUCUAUCAGAAUUUAUUCUUAUUUUUAGCCGAUUUGAUUUGGCAUCUUCAACCAAGCUGAUUUAUUAUGCUUUUUAUAUAUUUUUUAUUUUCUCACUAUGCAAUUAAACUUUCCGAAUUUUAUUGAUUUUGUUAUGUGCUUAUAAUUUUAUAAGUUAGUUUCUUGAUUCGAUUCAUGAACUUUGGUUAUUUAUGAUUCUAAAUGUUCUGAUAUACAAAUUAUAUUUGUUUUUUAAACUAUUUCAAUUUCAUGAAUAUAAUUUAGCUUUAUGCUUUGGAACUCAUAUAAGUAAUUACAAAUAGACCUGGAAAUCAAUAAUACGCAAUGAAGUAGAGGAAAAUUAAUAAAUUAAUCAUUACUGGAAACUACACGUUUUUCAUUAUAUAAAUACUUCUGUUACAUAUAUGUCCAUGAGCCUUCAAUAGUUACAUAAGAAAAUAUAUUUUUAAAAAUAAUAUUUCAUAAAUCUUCAUAGAAAAAUAUAAAUCUAUGGAGUUUCAAUAUAUUUAUUAAUGUUUUUCUUGCCACUUUAUUUUAAUCUAAUAUAAUAUUCAAACAAAAAUUCCUCACAUUAAAUAAUGUGUAUCAUAGACAUGGAUACUAUAAAAAUGGUACUCGUUGUAUUAUUAAUAAUUAAUAAAUAUAUUGUAUGGUACUCGUAUACGAAAUCAAAGUUAAUUAUUUUCCAUAAUAUAUAACGUGAUUUCUUUUAUCAUCAUACUUGUAAGACUUAACUCAUCCUAACUUUUAUGUAUAAAAGCAAGGUUAAAUUAUUUUAUAUUUUUGAAUUUUUAUUUUUAGGCUAUUAUUUAUUUAUUUGGACUCUAAUUAAGAAAACACAUUUAUUUCAGUUUAGAAUUUGGUCUUCAGAUAGUUGGAUUUUGAUAUUACAUGUUUUGAAAUCAAAGACGUAGCCCAAGUGUGGAUUCCUUCUAUUUUUUGAAUCUCCUAACAUUGUUUACUGUUGUGCAAGAUCGCUUAUACUUCCAAUUGAAACGACCAUGAACACACUAAAUUUUCAAUCAAAUGCAUGAUUGAACUCAAUAUUCUGUUAAAGAGGAAGUGUGGUAUAGAUUUGAAAGUAUUGGUGAGAGAUGUAUGAAUGUGGUAAAUGAUGUUGGAGUUGUUGUUGUUGUAUGAGGGAACAUUUAAGUUGCUGUGAUCCUCAUCAUUAUUAAAAAACUCUAAAGAUGGUGAAGAAAUUUCUACAUAUUCAUUUCAAAGUAAAUAAAAAGGUAAUGGUGAUGCGUUUUCAUGGUUGAGGGAAAAAAUUUAAUGUGGAUGGACCAGUUAGAAGUGGGAUGUUUGUAAAUAUGUAUCAUCAUGGUAUUAUCAAAGCAAAAAAAAAAAAAUCACUGCUUGAGAACAACUAACGAUCUCAUCAUCAUAAUACAUGAUUGUUCAUUUGGAAAUUCCAUUUUAAAAUGAAAAAGCAAGAAAAAUUGUAAAACUUUACAAAGUUAAGGAGAAUGCAGAACUAUGAAAUUAGGAGAAAUUGGAGUGUCAAGUUAUGGAAAGGUAAGUGUUAUAUGGUUAUGAGUGACAUGAGAGUUUAUGUACACGAGACUUUAAGUAAUUAUGGUAGUAAUGUGAAUGACACGAUGAGGUUGGGUAGUCAUGUGGGUGACCCAGAAAGUUAUGUAAUCGUGAGUGACACCUAGACUUUGACCGUCCAUGUGAAUUGUUGCAUGAUAGUUUAAGCGUUCAUGUGAGCGAUACAAAAUAUUAGGCAUACAUGUGACUGACAUGCGAACUUAGUCUGUCACCCAUGUAAAUUGUAUGACUACCUGACAUUUUGUGCUACUCAUAUAUGGCUACCUAAACUCUCGUCACACUCACAUGGCUAUCUAAACUCUCGUGUUACUCAUAUGACUACCUAAAUUUGUGUCAUUCACAUGGUUACUUAAGUUCUCAUGCUACUCACAUAAUUACCCACUAUUGUGUCAUUUUCAUGACUAAAUAAAACCUGCCUUACCAUAACUUACACCACUUCUUCGUAACUUCAUACUCACUGCCUUCUCUCUUACAUUGUACAAUUUCAUACUUUUUUCUUGUUUUUUAAUGUGAAAUGGAUUAUUCUAUUGAUGCAAUCAUCUUCAAUGAUGGUUGGAUUGUUAAUUGUCGUCAAACGCCAGUUUUCUUCCCCAUUGAGAAUGUCAUGAUGAUUAAUUAUGCUUAAGCAAUUCAAAGAAAAGCUUCUACAAAAGUCUUGUUGACCGGCACUUGAACAAGUUUCUGCCAUCAUAUACAGAUACUCCAUUCAAAUUUAUGUCGGAGAUGCAUACUACAUUGCAAAUAGGCUUCAAGACGAUGAAUAUUUAAAACUCAAAACCCAACACAAGCUACUAUAGAUGAUGUAUCCCUUCCAUUUAUCCUACUCAAUUUUCAUAAUAUCUCACGAAGAACACAUUUUUCCUUUCUAACACCAUCACACUCACACAUAAUCCACACCACGAACCUUUGAUUUAAACAACGCAUAUUUAGGGGAUUGAGAAACUGAUGUACAAUCUUGCACCCAGUUUCUAACUAGUCCAUUCAGAUAAAUUGUUUUUCCCUCCUAGUCCAUGCAAACACAUCAUUACUUUCUUGAUUGCCUGAAAACGACUGUGGGAAUUCUUUCAACAUCUUUAAAAUCUUUUAGUGAUGAUGAGAAUGACAUCCUCGCAGAACAUGCAGAUGAGAUGAGGAUGACAACAAUUUAGACGUCCUCCUCAUACAAUAACACGACCCCAACACCAUUUAUUGCAUUUACACACCCCUUUCAAACAAUUUCAAACAUAUACCCCACUUCAUGAACAAAAUACUGCGUUCGGUCAUGCAUUUGAUCAUGAGUCGGUGAAACAUCCAUUUGGAACAUUAUUCAAGGGAAUGUGGCUCCUAAACAAAGAACAACAUGUCAACGCGGUCAACAGGUUCCUCGUAAUGAACCACUGUAUCUACAAGGUCAUGUAUUCCAACACCACCAAAUUAAGAGUCUAGGGUGUUCACGACCAUUGCCAUUGUCAAACAAUAUUGCACUCUGGAGAACAAUGUUGGGAUAUUCAAGAGAUUUAAAAGAUAAUAGGAGUACACACGAACCAACAUCAAGGGAUCAGAAGGACCACAAAGAGAAGAGAAUGACAGUGAACAACGAGUUGGCGAAGGAAUUGGGGGUGUAGAGGAGGAUAUAAGAACGAAGAAGUGAAUGAAAAGUGGUUAGUGAGUUCGAUAAAUUGUAAUCUAUUGCUUACCAGCCUUAUUUACUGGGGUAUUUUGGGCAGUUGGAGGUGCAGGAGAAACCCUCCGCUAUCUUUCACCCAAAAGCCCAAAAACAUUAAUUGAGCUUUAUUAGACCAAACACCAACUGGGCCUUUUUGAAUAGUCCUAUUCGAAAAAAAUAUCUUCCCAUUAUUUGCCGAUUCUCUUCUACCUUCAUUUCACAACGGUUGAUGCCCAUUGAUGAGUAUUUAUUCUUAUUUUUCAUUUAGUUUUUUCUGUUUUAUGAAUGUAAGUUCUCUUGUAGAGUUAGUUUGCAUUGCAGAUGGAGGGUAGGUUUGCUGAAGAGCUUUAUGCUGAAAGUUUAGAACUGUCCAAAUUAGAACUCACGUCGACCAUUGCUGUUGAUGAAAAAGAUAAGUUAAACGGUAAGAUGUGGUGUGAGUGAAUUGAUUUGGAAUGAAUGCAUCGUUAUUGUUUUUCAGUCUCUUGCUUUAGUUAAGGCUUUUAAUUUUCCAUUACGGUUUUAGAUCGUGGUGGUGGUGAUGAUUUGAUUUUCUGGGAUGAUUUUGAUGACAAGUUGGAUAGUUCGUUGGAUUUGGACAGGGAGUGGCAGAGGAGGCACGUCCAAUUCCAUACGGUGUUUGUUUUAGCAUGGUUGAAUUAGUUUUCCUUAGUUUUGUUUCUAAUUCUAUACUUCUAUAUUGUGAUUAACUAACUGCGCAUUUUCAAUUCUCCAUAAUAUUUUAGAUAGGAUAUCGAGAUGGUCUUAUAGCUGGGAAGGAAGCUUCUGCUCAAGAGGGGUUCAAUUUUGGUUUUUAGCACCGUGACUGUUUCACUAGUUGUAUUUUAAGAAAAUUCUUUUUGACGACUUGCUUCUUUUGAAGUGCUUUUUCUCAUCUUCCACACCAAUUAAAAGAGAGGUUGGUUCCAACCCAAGAAAAGAGGAACGAACUCCAAGGGCUGUAUGAAUCUGUGCAUUCUUUGUCAACACCAGAUGCCCUUGGAUUGUUUACUGAAGAAAUGAUAGCACGAGAGGCUUUGGAAGAUAGUGAACAAUCAGAAGUUAGCCAUGACACAGCAGGUUUGCAAGAACAAUCUUCCUAUGGCUCUCAACUGAGAAAUUAUCUUGGACAACUUCAAUCUCUGAUUAGUGAAUCCUUAGCCGUUGGUAUUCAUUUGACCUGAACCAAAAUUAAUGGUGAUCUCUGUAUAUUUGGGAGGCAUGAGCAAUAGAAUGAUAAGAGGUUCUUGUGGUACGAUUUUCCAUCUUGAUGAUCGUAAAAACAGAUCAAUUGACGUAUUUGUUUAGAUAAUGUGAUUCGUGUCUACUUUUUGCGUCAUAAAACACAGUUGAGGCGAACAAAAAUGUUGAAGUUCGGAUCUAUUUGGUUUUCUGAAUCGGAGUUAUUAAAGGACAUUCUCUAUUGUCAGAAGGGGUGACAAUAUAUAAGAAAACGGAAAUCGUGUUUUCAGGUUUAAUUUUAUAUAAGUAGAAUGGUAAUUCUGCUUGCAAACACAAUUAAACGAAUACAAUAUAUGUAUUUAUGUUUUUAAUAUUUUUUCCUAUCUUGUAAUUAAUGUACUGAAAAUUCAAAUUGAAUUGUCGUCUUGACAUUCACAUGCAUAUUCAUAUCAGAGUAUUUAAAUGCAUAUAUAAUAUUAUAUACCAACUAUUAAAAUAUUAUUUUGAAUAUUAAAUUCUAAUUAUAACAACACAAUUUUAUAUUAAUUACUAAUAAUUUUUAUUUAAACAUUGUUUUGAAUCAAGUGAACAAAAUAAAAUUAUCUAUGAUAAAGAUAUUAAUUAAAUGAUUGUUUUCAAUUUAAUUUUAUAUAUUUAUGUUUUAAUUAAAUUUAGAAAAAUAGGUUUUUUUUAAGAGACUAUUUUUAUUUAAACUUAUAUUUUAAUGUUAACUUAGCGUGUGUUCGUUUUUGUGAAUUUGAGGGAAUGUUUGGUGGAUCUCUUCAAUUUGAGAAGAUUUGAGGUCAUUUAUAGUUAAAAGACAGUGAUUUGAGUGGAUAUUGAACAUUUGCACUGUUUGGUGGAUCUCUCCAAUUUGAGAAGAUUUGAGGUCAUUUAUAGUUAAAAGACCGCAAUGCCCUUUGUCAAUUUUCAAAAUUCCAACCCCUUAUAAUAAUAAAAAACCCUAAUAUUCAAGUAAAUAUUAAAAAACUAAAAAGCAUUUGGAUAAAAACACAAGCACUGCACUGUUGUUUCACGUGAACCUUUCACCAUAGCUCUGUUCAUUUGCAAAAGUAGAGAAUCUUUAUUUGAAUUUGAAAAACAAACUCUGAGACCAUUAAUAAAAGAGUGUGUUUCAAUGCAUUGUUUCAGUUUCAGUUUCUCCCGUGGUUUUUGCACAUGGAAGAGGUGGUUGUAGACAGUGCAUGGAAGAAGCUUGAUGAUGCAGCAGUUGCAGGAAGAAGAAGAAAUUUCGAAGAAAUUUCGGGUGAAGGAAGGACCUUAUCCGGAUACCGUGGUAACGUAUCCGGAUCCAGGGUUUUAAAGGUUUGCACAUGGUAGGUUAUCCGGAUACGUUCUUCGUGUAUCCGGUUCCACGUUUUGUGUUUGGAUGGCAGGGGUUGUUUCUGGUAAGAAAUUAUUAAAUAUAUUUAUUUUACUUUAUUACAAAUACUAUUACAAAUACUAAAUUAAUUUGGUAAGAAAUUAAUUUGAUAGUAUUUGGUAAGAAAUCAUAUUACAAACAAAUACUAAAUUAUUAAAAAUAUUUAUUUUACUUUAUUAUAUUUUUUUAAUAUUUUAUAAAUUAAUUUGAGUUAUUAUUAAUUAAUUUCCUUUCUUUAUUAACAUUUAUACUUUUAAAUAUAACAUUAAAAAAUACCAUUUUAUAUUACUAAAAUAACUAGGGGCAUUUUAGUAAUCUUAUAUUUCUACCAAUUAAACAAAUUUUUUAAUUCUAUCACAUCAAUCAAAUCCUACACUAAUUCUCACAAACUUUACCCUCAAAUCCACUCUCAAUUACCCACAAAUCUACUAAAAAAAAACAACAUAAUUACCCUCAAAUCCACUCAAAUCAUCUCUCCCAAAUCCAUUCAUAAGAACACAGUGUUAUAGAUUAAAUAUAAUUUUUAUUUAGGUUAUAAUUAUUGCUAAAUUUAAUUUCCGAUGUCUGUAUUUAUUCUCAAAUUUCUAGUAUCUUUUAAGCUCUUCAUAUUUUCAUUCAUCUAAUUAUGAGUUAGGAUUUUAUUGGAAAUUUAUUCAUCCUUUCACUUAGUAAUAAAUUGUUAUAUAAAAGUACGAGUAAGAUUGUACGGAAGGACAAAGAUGUUAAAGAUUACAAUGAGAAAGAUAUUAGACAUUACAAUAAUAAAAAAAAAUGAAGUUUAAUUUACAAAUUUUUCUAAUAAAUAAGAUUUACAAUUUUUUACUAUUUAUAUAUUAUAAAUCGGUUUUAAAAAGAUUAUUAAAUAUUUAUUAAUUUUUUUAAAUAUUGACAAACUCCAUUUUUAAACUACACAUAUAAAUUAUUUUUUCAUUUUAUCUGUUCAGGUACUUUGAUUAAGGUCAUAAAUUAUAUUUUAAUUAUUAAAGUAAUCAUGACAUGAUGUUUUAAUACACUGAUUUUUCAGCCAAUAUACAGCAUACAAAACUCUGCAUAGUUUUCUAUUUUUUAACGCUUACAACAACACAUAGAAAUACAUUAUGCAAAAUUUUUAAAUAAUGAAAUAUAGUCAACUCAAUAUAUAAGAAGUGUUAUAAUGUUUUUUUAAGCAAAAAUAUUUAGAGAAAUGAUAAAAGAAAGAAAGAAAAAGUCACUGUAAUUUAUAUUAUUAUACUAUUAUAUAUCAAACUCUGCAGUAUCUGAUAAUUAAUCAAGUUUUCUUACUUCGGGUGUGACAAAUCAAAUAUUGAAUCUAUCUACCAAAAACACAUUUUUGGGAUUACAGUUGGGCCUAUUGGGCCUAUCGGGCCGCAAGUCCAGGUUAAAUUAGAUAUCACGUGUCUCUUAUAAAGUGCCUAGGGUUUUCAGGUUUUCAGGUUUGUGCUUCCGCCUCUGCCCAGAGAAAGAGUGAAAACCUUCUUCUCUGUUACCUCCAACAAGUUGCAUCUAAUAUCAUGGUGCGUUUUUUUCUCUCUGCAAAAUCUCUUUGAAAAUGUUCUUACUUCUUUUCCAAAUCCACGUGAAUUGUGAUUGACUUUGUUGGUUAUUUCUUGCAGGCACCAAAGAAGGAUAAGGCUCCUCCACCUUCCUCCAAGCCCGCCAAAUCUGGCGGUGGCAAGCAGAAGAAGAAGGUUCGUUUCUCGUCAAAGUUCCAUUCUUUCUUAAUAUAAUUAUGUUCUGGUCCAUUUGGUAUUCCUGGGUCAGCGCCAUUACCUUUAUUUCAUCAUCUUCCAGAACUCUCUUUUUUUGUGUGUGUAUGAUUAAUACAAUACAAGGUAUGUAUGAUGUGAUGUUUUGAUUGAACUUGUGUUCAACAGAAGUGGAGCAAGGGAAAGCAAAAGGAGAAGGUGAAUAACAUGGUGCUGUUUGACCAGGGCACCUAUGACAAACUCCUCUCAGAAGCGCCCAAAUACAAGCUCAUAACUCCUUCUAUUCUCUCUGAUCGUUUGAGGGUAUGUUUUUCUUCUCUUGCUCUGUUAAUGUAAUUUUGUUAGUUGUGUGGUUUUGUAGAUACGUUAAUUUCUAGGAGAGUUCGCAUCUUUUAGUGUUGCUUUGAUACGUGUACUGGUCUAUAAAUCAACGUGGGCUACCCAAGACAAAGCAUUUCUGUUUUUCUUUUUUAUGUGUUAGUAGUUGUUUUUUGUCCAGUAUCAUGAAAGAACCUUUAAAGUGCAUUUGGUAACUGACUAAAUUGCUUUGGAGAAAAUGAAGAUGCCAUAUUCUCUCACAUUAAUGACUUAUAUCCACCGGCUUUUGCGUUAUGAUAUCUUGAACUGUUUAUUGUUCAAUAAUUGAUUAUCAACUUCAUACUUUUUCUCCUAAGUUCGUCAGUCUAACCAUUCCACUUGAUAAUGUCAUUUCUAUGCUCUACUUUUGACUUUUAAGUUAAACCUGUCUCCCUUCUGUGAGUAACACUUAUACCUAUAGUUGUAUAUGCUCAAUGACUGUCAUGAAUAAAUAAGCAUGGUAUAUUGAAUAAUAUAUAAUCAUUUUUCCUGCACUUUACAGAUUAAUGGAUCACUUGCAAGGAAGGCUAUAAGAGAACUGAUGGCUAGAGGUUCAAUCAGGAUGGUGUCUGCCCAUGCCAGUCAGCAAAUUUACACCAGGGCAACAAACACCUAAAUGUGGAAUUGUUCCUAGGUCAUGGAGUAUUCUUAGGAAUAGUGAAGUAUGUUCUCUUGAAGUUUAAGACGCAUCUCAUUGUUGCUGAAUCCAGGCUGAGAUUGUAUUUUUGGUUUCCUUCCAUGUUUUGAUCUUUUAAAAAUAUUUUGGCUCUUUUUUUACAUGUUGUGUUUUGUUUACUUGAUUUGUUAAUCUGCCGGAGAUUCUUUUGAAAGCAAAACCAAUUAGAAAAUGUCGUAUAUUUAAUGAUGUGUUUUGGCUGGGUUGGAUUACUACUAGAGUUCAGUUUUAACUGUUAAAAUCAAAAUCUGAGAACUUGAUCUACAUUUUUUGCGUUUUAUGUCAAGUAAUUUUAAACCAUUACUAGUUCAUUAGGGAUAUAUCGUCUCGUUUGGAAACAAGUAUGGCAAAAGAGUUAGGGUGUUGAGCAGUUUGAGGCAUUAAUGUCUAAAUAAUUUGACUCAUCAAUCGUGGAAGUUACACUAAAACGUAUUUAUUAUGGUUAACCAUUAAUGCUUUCUUUUAUAAUAGAAGAAGGUGGCGGUCUAAUUCAAAUCUUCACGUCUCCAAGCAUAUACUCUCCAACCACGUUGUAGACUUAGUUCAAACGUUCAACUGAUAAUACACUGUCACGUCAGAACUGAAAUUUUGCUACAAUAAGAAAUUAUUUGGUAAUAUUUCAGUGUACAUGAUCCCAUGUAUAUGUUGGAGGAUCUUAACAGAUGCUUGCAAAAUAAGGAAGCAAGACUGGAACCAGUAUACAAAAUUUCUUGAAAUUGGAACCUGUGCAUUCAAUUAAAACCAUAAUUGCUCUUGUAUAAUUUUACUGCUUUUUUCUUAUGUUUAUGGGUAUAUCUGCAUUAUUUUUCAUAGUGUGGUGAAUUACGUCCUCACCACUCCUUAUGUUUACUCAUUUCCCUUUUAGGAUAAUCUGUCAUAUAAUUGACCGUUGUUGAAUAGCUUUAUAUAUCUAUCAACCCGGAGGAAUUUAAAUUUUGUAAAUAUGGUAACUGUUUUUCUUAUACAGAAAGUGAGAAGAAAAGUGUUUGGUAAUUAAUUGGUGCUCAGAGAAUAAAAAAACUCGAAUGGUAAAUUCUAUUGAUUCCACAUUCAUAUGAACCAGAUCACUAUGAAUACGAUAGGAAUAACAAAAGGUGCACAUGGAUGGUUGCUAUUUCAUUGUAGCUGGGCAAGGUAUCCUUAGCUACGUAUAUGCAUGUAUAUUAAUGUUCAUUAAUUAGUAUAUAUGAAAUCGGGGACACAGCAAAACAUAACCAUCAUUUUUGAGAUAGACAGGUAGGAUAUGAGUUUAAAUAAUUAAAUAAUAUAUCAUUUGCAGAGUUCCCAAUACCCUCAUUCAGUUGUAGAUAGCAGCAUCAGAAACCUGCAAAGAUGCUAUUUUAUCAAAAAAAUUGUCCCUGUGAUUCAAAUGAAACUGAUAUAUAUAAUUAACUGCACAUUCAUUUGGUGACAUUUGAGUGAAAGCACUCUCAUUCAUUCUGCUUCAUAUCAUUGCCGCCUGAGGUGAAUGGUUCCUGUAGCAAAUCAUUGGGCCAAGCUCUCAGCUUACACAAGAUUGCAUGACUUUUCAUAAUCUACUUUUCCUUCUCCCUUAAAAUUUACUUUAUGACUCCCAAAAUGUCUGUAGGUGUUUGUUUUUCAGAUCUAUAUUUUGGCAGAAUGGCAUUUGCUUACACAAUAAAUGUUCAAGAAGAAUAAAACCUAUCCAUGAGGUGUUCCGAAAGGCCUCAUCUUCCACAGUACAUUUCAAUAGAGAAAUUUAGCUUACUUUUCUAUUUUAAUAAGAGGGCAUUUUUUUUAAAACUUUAUCACAAACAAUUUUCCAUUCUUUGGACCGAUUGGAGAUCCAUAAAGAAGUAAAUUAAAAGAUAUAAUCAAAAUUGGAGUUUUUCUGAUGGUAUUAAUCGAAGUGCAAUCAACACUUCAAAAUGCCACUUUCAUGUUUUUCUCAUCAACUUAAAAUGACUCAAUGAAACCUUUUGUGUUACAAGGUUAUAAUGUAUUACGCUGUAUCAUAUCAUACCAUGGAGAAAAUAGACGCGGAAAGGAACAAGUCUCAGUUUCCAACUCAAGACUCGCCAUCUGGAAGUCCCACAUUGCUCAGAAUAGUAUACAAAUUAGUCUUUAUAAAUCUUCUGACAAACACAUCAGUUCGCCGAGCUGGGUAACGUCAGCUUGUAACCUUAGUGGGGGCAUCAAGGUGAUUGAACAAGGCUAUGGCUUGCUAAGCUGGUCUGGAGGCUGCAUCUUGCUGGCUUGCCCACUCCAAGUCAGGAGUUGAGACAUGGGAUCUUUGCGAAGGCAAAGGUUUCCUGCUUCCUAGACAGGAGGGCACAGCGUGAGGCUGGUUUCACAGAGCAGCGACCACCUCCGGCUCUUGACAGUGGAGGGAUAACAGGCUGCUGCAUCUCCAUUCCUAAUCAAGCUUGGUGAGCCUUGCUCUUGAACAGUCAUUUUUUUCUUUUAAGUAGAAAGAAGAAAGAACUUGUGCAUGAAUUACUAGAUAAUAUUUUUUAUUUAAUUACCCAGACUGAACAGAGUUAGUUUAGACGAGAUUUUAUCUUAUUGUUUAGUAGGACUUUGUAGCACUGAUAGAAUAAGAUCAAACUAUAAUUUUUGUCUAUUUCCCUCGUUGACAGGAUGUUGCAUUCCUUGAAUUUGAGCACACUCAAUUAUUUGAUCAACUUUUCUUCUUGAUUCACAACGUUUAUUGAUCAACUUUGAUUAAAAAUGAAAAUGAUGCAUGAACAUGGCCAUCUAGGUAUGUCUAACCAAUUACACCUGAUGAUUGAAAAUAGGAAAAGAUUUCUUUCAACCUUGACUCAUUUUUGUUAGCAGGCAAGUUGAGAAUAAUUGUUAUUACAAAUAGAAACAUCCCCUCCUCCUACCGACAGAAAACUCAAUUAUGAUGCUAAGUCCACAUUGGUGGGUAUUGUAGAGGAAUACGAGUUUCUUUCAUGUGCUCUUUAUUUUUCUGUAACAUACACCAAUUGGUUUUUACUUUUCUAUUAUUGAAUUCAAUAUGCAGCUAGGCUCCAAGCCUACAACUUCUGGAUGCUUCUUUUUUGUUGCUAAUUGUAUCCUUUGUUCACCAAUCUCUUCAAACUGCAAUCAUGUAAAUGCAAAGGAAAGUCGGCAAUUGAUCCAUAAAUAAGAGGGAAGCAACUCAACAAAAUAUGUCAUAUGUUUUCUGAUCUACGACAGUGCAUGAGACUUGACCAACAAUAUAUCACCUCCAUCUAGAAAACAAAAAAUAAAGUCUAAUGUUGAUGUUCUUGUUUCUUAAUCAAAGUUGAAAAUUCGUGUUGUCGUUAGUUCAACAGACACGUUUUGUUGCCACGAUGCUGUUUAGGAAUAGAACCACUUUCUCCACUUCCUGACAAAAGCUUCCAUUACAAUGCUACUCCGAAAAUUUAGAAUUUUCUUAUCAGCAACCUGCAAAAGAUACCAUUUUCAAACAACCAUGUGAUGCUCAAGUAAAAUACAAAGAGUAAACUAUAUAAUCAUAGAUAUUAGAUUCAAACCAGGAUGAUAUAAUUGCUAGCUCCUGUGGUGACAUCUAGGAACAGAAAUAUUCUACUUGUCUCCCUCAAUUCUUUUGUUAUAUAUGGAGCUGAUGUAAAACACCAAGACUCAGACUUCAGAACAAGUUGUGCAUAUCAUCUCCUACUUCUGUAUCCCUCUAUUAUCUUCUCUAACAAGAGUAAAUGGAAACAAACUCAAAGAAGUCUCUGCACAUUCGGUGCAACAGUUUGCCCUCUUCACCUCACCCACUUUUAUCACAAUUCCAGGAUCACUUGCAGAGAAUGAAAGACUCCGAAGCCACCAGCACUUGUCUGUCAUCAUCUUCAAUAAGCCAAAAACUACAUGGUUUGCAGGAUUUGCAUGACUAUGCCGAUAAGCUGUUCCAGUUGCCCAGUAUCAGACAAGCCUUUGCACGAGAAUGCAGUGAAAAGUGUGUUAUGUUCUGUUAGAAGGGUCACUGACACUCCUUGAUAUCUGUAGUACAGCCCAAGAUUGCCUCUUGCAAUCAAAGGAAAGCAUGACAUGGUUUAUUCAGUUAUUCGAAGAAAGGGUGCUACACUGAAAGGAAUGAACAGCGAGUUAAUGGAUAAUGAGACUUUGCCUAUCCUUGGCAUCUUAAAAGAAGCAGAAGCAGUCACCAUGAAGUCCUUAGAGUCCUUGUUGCUGUUUGUCUCUGACUCUAAGGGUCAAUCAAAGCAGAAAAGAUGGUCAAUAAUAUCUAAGCUGAUGCAGCCUGAUGAAUAAACUGUGACUCUCAAUAAGACACAAAUGAAUUUGUAAAGAUGGACACAACUUUGCAAUCAAUCCUUAAUAACAAGCCUUUGUCUAUUGAGAAUUUGGAGACAUGCAUUGAGGAUAUAGAAGUAGGCGUUGAACACCUUUCAAGGAAACUCAUUAAAACAAGAGUAUCCCUUCUCAACUUCUUCAGCCACUAGUUGGAGAAAAAACAAUCUAAAUGUUGUAUGCGAACACCAAGUUCAUUUUUUGACCUAUUGUUGUACACAGAUGUAUUUAAAACUUGUCCUUUUACUAAAUACAAUAAUCAAAUGAUGAAACUACAUCCUUUCUUUCUUUCUUUCUUUAUAUGUAUAGAAAUUUCCUUCUUCUCUUGCUUUCUUUCUUUCUUUCUUCGCAAAUUCUUUGUCCAUGUGUGAAUUUUGUUUGCUUGAUUGAAGGAUUGAAAAAAGUGACAGCCACAGUUCCCCUUACGAAGUUUCUUUCUUUGGAAAUUCUUACGUAGGUCUGAAUUGCUAUUCAAUGGACAGAAGAAAGUGA